AGAAGAACUGUGCCAGGUGCAACAUUUUGCAACUCGAGGCAAUCAAUUACCAGGCGUCCGUGUGUUUCUGUAAUUUUUAUUAUCCAUGUUUGCUAUUCGUUUGCAUUCCCCUAGUGAUGUCUGUGUAAACUUCAGUUAUCAUCUUUCGAUGAAGAUUUAUUUAAAAGCAUGGUGUCUUCAGAACAGAUGCCAAGUCAUUGUUCAAAAAGUCUUUCCAAGGACAGUGCGUUUGUGUACGGGAGGUGUUCUUUUGCUCAAGAAUUGAUCUCGGCCUUGUUACUGUUUAACUUUGACAUGCAUCAUGAUUAGAUCCACCAUUCUUGUGAUCUGAGAACUCUAGAGGGUGACAUAUUAAAAUCUUCUUUGGUGGGUAGCUAACGGACUUUACCUAAAGGCCGAAGAGAUAUGGUUUUGUAGACAGCAUGAUAUGGGCCAGAGACAAAUUGAAAGAUUUGUUCUAUGUAGCCACUUGCAAAGGGUAGGAAGCAGUAGCAUUAUUUUACAGCUAUGAAGAUACAACUAGUGAUUGAAAACUUUGUAGUCCAAAAUUCCAGAUACCCUCUUGCUCCACAGAUACAAAGAGGAAAACUUAAAGCAGUAGUUUCCACGCUGUGACAGGUGCAACAUUUUGCAAUUUGAGAACUGUUGUAGGUGGCAUUAUUUUACAGCUACAAAAGCUAGCAAGAUGUUGAAUAAGAUUCAGACUACAGGCUGGUACAGAUUGCUUACUGCGCAGAAGCACCUGAGGCAAAGAUUCGGGAAUCGCUGUAGACUGUAGUUGUUUGAUUGUUUCCUCCAUUUGUAGUCCAAAAUUCAGUCCACCUAACUGAAUGAUUGAUUUGUAGACGAUUUACAGCUAUGAAGAUACUACUACUGAUUAAGAACAGUACUGUGCCGAUCGCUGCGCAGAAGCACCUGAGGCGAGAUUCGGGCAUAUUCCUGUAGUUGUUUCCUCCCUCGUGGGUUUGGAGAAAUAGAAAAGAAAAGGCAGAAAACCCUCUUGCUUCACGGUUACAAUCUUUAUCAAGGAGAAAUAGAGUUCCAGAUGCCCUCUUGCUUCACAGAUACAAAGAGGAAAACUUAAAGCAGUACUCCCUCUGUAAAGUUAAAGUGGGAGUAGUUUCCACGCUGUGCCAGGUGCAACAUUUUGCAGUUUGAGAACUGUUGCAGGUGGCAUUAUUUUACAGCUACAAAAGCCAGCAAGAUGCUGAAUAAGAUUCCAGACUAAAGGCUGGUGCAGAUUACUGCGUAGAAGCACCUGAGCCAAAGACCCGGGAAUUGCUGUAGACUGUAGUAGUUGUUUCCUGCAUUUGUAGUCCAAAGUUCAGUCCACCUAACUGAAUGAUUGAAUUGACCGGUAGGUGUGAUGUGAGUGAUGAACCUGAAGUUUUGAGAUUCAAUUUUUUGCUUGUUAUCCUCUAGCAAUUUGGUAGAGAGAUAAACUCGUCAAGUUUAAUCUCCAGAGAGUUCAGGUAUUAUGUGGCCAGCUCUGUUUUAUGUAAAACAGCGAUGAAAAAAGGAUAAUCUAUGAAGUACAGUUUGACCUCUUACUUCAAAGUUAGAACAAGAAAAGUGAUUGCAACUUGUACAAACAUGUGUAAGAAAGUCUUCCACAUGCAGACAGACUUCCUUGACACAUGGACGAACAAUUUUGUGUAGCGUCAAAAACUCUUUUGCCUGAUUCUUUCACCUCUUGCUAACAAUCAAACCACCAUGGUCUGCCUGUUGUUUUCGCCAUGGGUGAGCGGUGCACCACCUCCAAACCCAACCAACGACAAGAUCUAUCUCUCCAGAACAUUCUCUACUAGGCUGAAGAGAUGCAGACAAAGGCUCCGCUGUGGAGAUGAGGCCAUAACCAUAAUGGCGCUACCAAUUGCAUUUGCAUCGCCAGCGGUUCAGGAAGGCACUUGCGGGUUCUGGCGUUGGGGCAGGGCAGCAAUAAUUGCUGUAUGUUUUCAGUUGCUUUCAGGUUUCGGCCCAGGCAGAUGCAGAUGGAGGGGUCGCCCAUGGCCGUGGGUGGUGGCGGUGCAAUGCAAACCCCAGGAGUCUGGAUGAUGGGGGCUGAGGAGGAGGACGAUGGGUGGUUUAUUGGCUUGGUUGCGCGGCCCCCACCGUGAGGGGAUGGGAGAGUAUUGGUGUUGCAAGCUACGGUGGUCAUUGGGCGAAAGGUAGUUGUCAGGUUAGGCUUGGACCAGAGCAGCAGCAGCUUCAUUAGCGAUGGAUGAAGCAGCUAUUUUCUGGAAAUACCUAUAUCUCGCUUUUGCUUAUAGCUUUUUUUAGGGGUAAAGCCAAUUUUAUUUAUCAAAAAUCAUAAAGUGUGGGAUACAAUUCAGAUCAUGUGGUUGUCUGUGUGACGCCUCUGACCAGACCUAGGGAGAGUGAAUGAUUGGCUAACCUAUGUACAUCAUAAUUAACAGCACCACCUUCGAAAGAGAAAUUACAUUGAAACAAAACUGCUCAUGGACUAUGGACCCAUUCUUUACUCUACCACCUCGAGUAAUAUUUGCUAUAGUUUGUUUGGAGUACGAGACGACAACCAAAUUCUGCAAGUUAAGAUCUUCUGCCAUGGCUAGAGCCUCUCUGCAGGCUACGGCCUCCAAUAUCGCUAGAUCAUCGAGACCCGCGAUCACUAGGGUCGUACUCUCAAGGUAGUUUCCUUGACUAUCACGGCAAACCACUGCCGCCGAUGGAAAAUCCUAUUCGCCACUCGCUGCGGCAAACUGUCGAGCAAUCGCACAGGGGCAGCGUAGCGAGCGACAGAAAUGGGCCGGCCCACAUAUAAUGCAUCCAAACCGGUUUUGGGAACCUUCCAGAAGGUUCCCUGAACCGUCUUUUUUUCCUGUAUCAUUUUUUUCUGGUUUUUUUGGCUUUCUAUUGUUUUUUAUUUCUCUUUUUUUCGUUUCCGUUUCUUUUUCAUUUUUUCGUUUUUUGUUUCUUGUUUCACUUUCUUUUUCAAGUUUAUUUUUCUGUUUCAGAAUAUGUUUGUAGUUUUACAAAAUGUUUAUGAUUUUCUUUUUUAUUUCCUUUUCUUUUCUUCUCUUCCUUUAAAAAAACAAAAAUUUAAAUUUUGUUUGUGUUUCCAAAAAAUGUUCUCAAAAUUCAAAAUUUGUUCUCGUUACACAAAAAAGUACAAAACUUCUGAAAUUCAGAAAAUGUACUGAAUUUCAAUUAGUUUGUUCACAUAUUCAAAAAAUGUUCGCGCUUCCAAAUUUGUUCGGGAUUUUUCAAUAUUUCUCUCCGUUUCAAAAUAUGUUUUCAAGAUUCAAAAAAUGUUCGUGCUUUAAAAAAUUGUUCGGACUUCCAAAUUUGUUCGGAAUUUUUCAAAAUUUCUCUCCGUUUCAAAAUAUGUUCUCAAGAUUCAAAAAAUGUUCGUGCUUUAAAAAAUUGUUCACGCUUCUAAAUUUGUUCAGAAUUUUUUAAAAUUGUUCACCGUUUCAAAAUUUGUUUUCAAGAUUCAAAAAAUGUUUGCGAAUUGAAGAAAAGUUCCAGCUUUCCAAAUUUGUUCACAAAUUCAAUAAUAGUUCAUGUUUUUCAAAAAAAUUCACAAAUUCAAAAAAUGUUCUGGAAGUUUUAAAAAUAUAAACAUUUUUAUUUUUUGUUCAAAAUUCAAGAAAUGUUCCCCUUUUACAAAAAAUUUCACAUCAUCAAAAUGUUCAUGUUUCACAAAAUUUGUACGAAAAUUCGGAAAAUGUUUUUAUUUUGAAGAAGAUAUACAUAAUUUUGAAAAAUUCAGUUGUAGGAGGUCGUCGGUUCGACCCAAUAAAUUGUCUGUAGUCUUUAACUGUCGCGCUGCUAAUUGCACAUGAGAAUGUCUACAUCGCAGUGGUUUGCAUGGCAGGCCAAUUAGUGCGAAGUCGCGUGUUCAAGUUACAGCGCUAGCGCUAAUUUCUUUUUUGCGAUUUUUCAUCUCGGGAACGUUCCGCCGCGUGCCAGUGUAAAUGGGCCGGCCCACGCUAGCUGCUCCUGUGCGAAGCGCCGGCAUUUCGCCGCAGCGAGCGGCCUAUAGGUGCUCCCGGCAGCGAGCGGCCGAUCCCCUCUACCAGCACGCACCUGCGUCAACGUGGAUCUUGGAAAGCCCACAGGUAUAGGCUGGCCCAUUAACGCGUUUUCUCGUUCUGAAGUUAAAGAGUCCGCAGGUAUAGGCCGCCGCAUUAACGUGUUUUCUCAUUCGGGCACUUGUUCGGUUCGCUUGUUAUAUGGAUUGUUUUUUUCUUUCAUGUACAAUGGUUGCACUGGUCCAGUUGUUUCUUCGUUCUCUUUUCUUUGGUUUCUUUUGUUCUUUUACCGGUUUUCUUUUGUUUCUUUUCCUUGUUAUAAGCUUGNNNNNNNNNNNNNNNNNNNNNNNNNNNNNNNNNNNNNNNNNNNNNNNNNNNNNNNNNNNNNNNNNNNNNNNNNNNNNNNNNNNNNNNNNNNNNNNNNNNNNNNNNNNNNNNNNNNNNNNNNNNNNNNNNNNNNNNNNNNNNNNNNNNNNNNNNNNNNNNNNNNNNNNNNNNNNNNNNNNNNNNNNNNNNNNNNNNNNNNNNNNNNNNNNNNNNNNNNNNNNNNNNNNNNNNNNNNNNNNNNNNNNNNNNNNNNNNNNNNNNNNNNNNNNNNNNNNNNNNNNNNNNNNNNNNNNNNNNNNNNNNNNNNNNNNNNNNNNNNNNNNNNNNNNNNNNNNNNNNNNNNNNNNNNNNNNNNNNNNNNNNNNNNNNNNNNNNNNNNNNNNNNNNNNNNNNNNNNNNNNNNNNNNNNNNNNNNNNNNNNNNNNNNNNNNNNNNNNNNNNNNNNNNNNNNNNNNNNNNNNNNNNNNNNNNNNNNNNNNNNNNNNNNNNNNNNNNNNNNNNNNNNNNNNNNNNNNNNNNNNNNNNNNNNNNNNNNNNNNNNNNNNNNNNNGUUGCUGAUGUAUAACAUCUUUUUAAUAUAUGAUUAACAUUUUUCAAUGCAUUGCCAAUAUUUUUCUAAUUUUGAAUAAGACUUUUAAGUACAAGAUUAACAUUUUUAAUACAUGGAGAACAAUUUUUCCAUAGACAUUUUUAACAUUUUCAAAUUUUCAUUAAUAAUUUUCAAAUAAGUUUUUAUUUUAAUACAUGGUCAACAUUUUUCCAUACAAAUAUUUAACUUUUUGAAUUUUUCACUCAUUUUUCUCAAAUACAAGAUUAAUAUUUUUUAACACAAGGCCAACAUUUUUUCUAUAUACGUUUAAAACCUUCAAAUGCUUUAUCAGUAUUUUCAAAAUACAAUAUUAACAUUUUCUUAAUACAUGAUCAACCUUUUUUAUACAUAUUUGACAUUUUUUAAAUGCUUACUUAACAUUUUUCAGAUGCAAAAUAUUUUUUUAGUUAUUGAUUAACGUUUUCAAAAUACAUGAUCAACUUUCUGCAGACACAUUUGUUUUCUGUAUACAUGAGAAACACUUUUUGUAUACACAUUUAACAAUUAUGUUUGUUAACAUAUUUUUAAAUGUUUGAUGUAAAAUAUUUCUUGUAAUAUACUCCCUUCGUUCCUAAAUAUAAGUCUUUUUAGACAUUUCAAAUGGACUACAAUAUACGGAUGUAUAUAGCCAUAUUUUAGAGUGUAGAUUCAUUUAUUUUGCUCUGUAUUUAUUGACUUGUUGAAAUCUCAAGAAAUACUUUUAUUUGGGAAUAGAGGGUGUAUUUAUUUAGAAUAUUGGGCAGUAUAAAAAUUAAAAAAAGAAAGGAAAAAAGUAAACCAGUUUGUGGCCUCCCGAGCUUCUGGGCCAGCCCGUCUUACGUCUCCCUUCCGACGAGGCUUAUGGGAAAGCUGGUAUGGGCCUGCCCAUCACGAGGGCAAAGCCGAAUCGCUAGAUGGCGCACACCUUCCUUGCAUUAAUUCAACGGUUGACCGGUGGACAGUUAACAAGUUGAACCUGUCAAACAUUGACUUUAAAAAUAUACGCAAAAAUUGGAAAAUUCGCAAAAAAAAAAAUUUAAAAGAGGGAAAGGUUCACGAGUUCAAAAAUUUCAUGUAUUGAAAAUAAUUCAUCAAAUUUAAAAAAAGUUCAUCAAAAUUUAAAUAAAGUUCAAUGAACUUUUUUUAAGUCACAAACUGGGAGAAAAAAUCUUCGAUUUUGAAAAAAACAUUGAUUCUCGAAAAAAAAUCAUGGAUUUUGAAAAAAGUACACAAUUUUUAAAAAAUUCUCAACGAUUUUAAGAAAUAUCACGAAUUUUAAAAAAUUAUGCUUUUUCUAAAAAUAUGAAAAAGGAAAAAAGUAAAAAAAGGAAAAGGAAACCAAAAACGAAAAAAGAACCAAACAAAACCGCUCCAAGAAAAAAGAAAAAGAAAAAGAAAAGGCAAAGAAAGAAGGAAGAAAAACACCCGAAGAAAACAACGCGGCGGAUGGUGUGCGCCCGUUUGCGAAACCUGAAGAAACAUACACAGAAGGCACCGUUUAGGAUUUGCCGAGGCUUCCCUCGGUCUCGCUAGAAGUGAGGUAUAGCAGUGCUCCUGGGUGCCGUGUGCGUCCAGUAGCGAUUGCUCAGCUGAACAAUCCUCCCUCGCGGAGUGAGCUGGGCUGGUCCACGUAUGCACAUCCACUGUUUGUUCUUUUUUGGUCUGUGGGUGCUGCACGUUUUUUUUCCUUUUCUUCCAGUUUUAUAUUUCAGGUUUUUUUCUUUCUUCUUUUCAGAUUUGUUUUUUCUUAUGCUUUUGUCUUAUGGUCUUUGUUUCUGUUUACCUUUUUUCUUGCCUUUCUUAUGUAUUGUACAAAGGGUUCACUGUGUCUUACGAAAAUAUCCAUCGUAUAUAUAAGAAAAUGUUCACUAUAUGUUAAGAAAAUAUUAAAUAUCAUUCUAAAAACAUGUUAAUUGUGUAUUUAAAAAAAUUCAGCGUAUAUCACAAAAAUAUUCGCUGUAUAUUUGAAAACUGUUCAACAUAUAUCACAAUAAUUUUCAAUGUGUAUUUAAAAAUUGUCCAGAAUAUAUAUAAAAAUGUUCAAUUUAUACUUAAAAAUUGUUCAUCGUAUAUAAAAAAAUUAAAUAGUGUCCAAGAUUUCGAUUUUUUUUACUUUUCAAAAAUUGUUCAUGUUUUAAAAGUUUUUGGAACUUAGAUUUUUAUAUAACUAAAAUUUAUUAAUAAAAUUUUCUUAAACUUUUCACAAGUAAUGUUGAUUUUUUUAAGGACUUGCCGCUCAACUUUGAACUACAAUCCUACUGCUUCGUUUUAGCAACUCUCGGUCGGCAUGUUGUUUGGCUAGGAACGCUGUUCUCCAUCACGAGGUCGGGAGUUCGAUUCCAUGCUUGUACUGUUAUUUUUCAUGACAUGGUUUCAUUCCAUCGACGCCUGUUGAAUGAGUUCACCUAUUACGGCUCCCCUUCAGCGAAAGCUCUCUAUCGGACGCAUGCAGACAUCCAAUAGGAGCUCUCCUAUUCUCAGUCCAAGCAUAUUAUUUUAAUCUUUUUAGCCAUAGGGUUGUUUAUAACAGGUAACUCAUAGAGCGAUCUUUGCAAAGUGGGAUGAGUACGCAUAAAUCUUCUCUCAAGUUUAAGAACAAGUGCAGAAAUACCUUCGGCAUAACUAUUGCUUCUUUCCAGGAUGGGAAUAUCAUUGCAAACCAAAGUCGCCGUACAAGUAAAGAAAUCCUGGAUAGUGAUUUUUUCCUAUGAUAUUCCCACUAACCAUCACAAAAAAUUUAGUAUCCAAAUCUGCGGGAAUUUCUAUUUUAGAAGUUUUAUCAUCCUCACUUUUUUAAUGACAAACUCAGACAUGAUGGCAACUUCAAGCAAACAAACAAGCAAACAAUUUCUUUUGUAAAACUGUUGUAGAAAUGGGGGAGAUGAAAAUGAGAGACAAAUGCAAAUAAAAGGCAAAUAAAAUUAAGAGCAAAUAGAUGAUAGUUUGUGCGAAGGUACAUGAUAGGUUUUGGCAAUGUCUCCCCGACAACGGCGCCAGAAAUUCUUUCCUGCUACUUGUGAGCUUCGUUGGGAUUUCCUCGAAAAGGAGAGAAUGAAGCAGUACAAUAGAGAUAAGUAUUUUCCUCAGUUAAGAACUAAGAUUAUCAAUCCAGUAGGAGAACCACGCAGAACCUCGUUAGCAGUACCUGCACACACAAAAGCAAAUACUUGCACCCAACGCAAACAAGAGGGUUGUCAAUCCCCUUGGCGGUUAUUUGCAAGGAUCAAAUAUUGUAGUGGUAGAUAGAUAAAAUAAAAUAGAAAAAGUGCAGCAAGGUAUUUUUGAAUUUAAUAUAUGAUAAAAGUAGACCUAGGGGCCAUAGUUUUCACUAGAGGCUUCUCUCUCGAGCACAUAACGUAUGGUGGAUAAACAAAUUAUUGUUGAACAACUGGUACAAAAACACGUAGUUAUGACGAUAUUCAAGGCAAUGAUCUGUAUAUAGGCAUCACAUUUGAUACAAGUAGACCGACUCCUGCCUGCAGUCCACCCAUCGAUCACUAUCCAGCAUGCAUCUAGGGUAUUAAGCUAUAAAAAUAGAGUAACGCCUUAAGCAAAAUGACAUGAUGUAGACAAUGUAAUAUGAAUAAACCCAUGGUUUUAUUCUUAAUGACAACAAUACAAAUACGUGUCUUUUCCCUUUUUGUCACUGGGAUGGAGCACCGCAAGAUUGAACUCAUCACAAAAACUCAUUACAAAGCACCUCUUCCAUUGCAAGACAAAUCAAUCAACUUGGCGGAAUCAAACGAAUAGAUCGGAGAGAGAUACAAAGCUAUAACAAUCAGGCAUAAAAGAGUUCAGAUAAUACUCAAAUAUUUCUCAUGAAUAAUCUGAUCAUAAACCCACAAUUUAUCGGAUCCCAACAAACACACCGCAAAAGAAGAUUGCAUCAAAUUGAACUCCAUGAACAUCAAGAAGAACAUUGUAUUGAAGAUCAAAGAGAGAGAGAAGAAGCCAUCUAGCUACUAGCUAGGGACCAUAUGUCUGUGGCAAACUACUCACACAUGAUCGGUAGGGCAGCAAGGAUGAUGUAGAUGAAGGAAAUAUGCCCUAGAGGCAAUAAUAAAGUUGUUAUUUUAUAUUUCCUUAUAUCAUGAUAAAUGUUUAUUAUUCAUGCUAGAAUUUUAUUAACCGGAAACUUGAUACAUGUGUGGAUACAUAGACAUAACACCGUGUCCCUAGUAAGCCUCUACUAGACUAGCUCGUUACAAAGAUGGUUAAGUUCCCUAACCAUAGAAAUAUGUUGUCAUUUGAUGAACGGGAUCACAUCAUUAGGAGGGUGAUGUGAUGGACAAGACCCACCCGUUAGCUUAGCAUAAUGAUCGUUAAGUUUUAUUGCUAUUGCUUUCUUCAUGACUUAUACAUAUUCCUUUGACUAUGAGAUUAUGCAACUCCCGAAUACCGGAGGAACACCUUGUGUGCUAUCAAACGUCACAACGUAAUUGGGUGAUUAUAAAGAUGCUCUAUAGGUGUCUCCGAAGGUGUUUGUUGGGUUGGCAUAGAUCAAGAUUAGGAUUUUUCACUCCGAGUAUCGGAGAGGUAUCUCUGGGCCCUCUCGGUAAUGCACAUCACUAUAGGCCUUGCAAGCAAUGUGACUAAUGAGUUAGUUACGGGAUGAUACAUUACGGAACGAGUAAAGAGACUUGCCGGUAACGAGACUGAACUAGGUAUGAUGAUACCGACGAUCGAAUCUCGGGCAAGUAACAUACCGAUGACAAAGGGGAUAACGUAUGUUGUUAUUACGGUUUGACCGAUAAAGAUCUUCCUAGAAUAUGUAGGAGCCAAUAUGAGCAUCCAGGUUCUGCUGUUGGUUAUUGACCGGAGAUGUGUCUCGGUCAUGUCUACAUAGUUCUCGAACUGGCAGGGUCCGCAUGCUUAACGUUCGAUGACGAUUUGUAUUAUGAGUUAUGUGUUUUGGUGACCGAAGAUUGUUCGGAGACCCGAAUGAGAUCAUGGACAUGACGAGGAGUCUUGAAAUGGUCGAGAGGUAAAGAUUGAUAUAUCGGAAGGUAGUGUUCACACACCGGAAGGGUUUCGGAGUGUAUCGGGUACAUACCGGAGUACCGGAGGGGUUACCGGAACCCCCCGGGAAAGAUAUGGGCCGUAGGAGGGAGGCUAACCAGCCCACAAGGGGCUGGUACGCCCCCCACAAGGGAGGAGGCCGAAUUGGACUACUGAAGGGGGCGCCACCCCCCUUUCCUUCUCCUACUCCCUCUCCUUUCCCCCUUUCCCCCUCGAUAUGAGAAGGAAAAGAAGGGGGCCGAAUCCUACUAGGACUGGUAGGACUCCCCCCUUAUGGUGCGCCCCCUAGGGCCGGCCUCCUCCCUCUCUCUCCUUUAUAUACGUGGGCAGGGCACCCCUUGGAGACGCAACAAUUGUUCCAAGCCGUGUGCGGCGUCCCCCUCCACAGUUUACUCCUCCGGUCAUAGCGUCCUAGUGCUUAGGCGAAGCCCUGUGCGGAUCACAUCACCAUCACCGUAAUACGUCCAUUUUGCAUCAUGCUUUUAUAUCGAUAUUUAUUGCAUUAUGGGCUGUUAUUACACAUUAUGUCACAAUACUUAUGCCUUUUCUCUCUUAUUUUACAAGGUUUACAUGAAGAGGAGAAUGCCAGCAGCUGGAAUUCUGGGCUGUAAAAGGAGCAAAUAUUAGAGACCUAUUCUGCACAACUCCAAAAGUCCUGAAACUCCACGAAGUCAGUUUUGGAAUAUAUUAAAAAUAUCAGGCGAAGAAAGCACCAGAGGGGGCCACCCACCAUCCACGAGGGUGGAGGGCGCGCCCUACCCCCCUGGGCGCGCCCCCUGCCUCGUGGGCCCCCUGGCAGGCCUCCAGUGCCCAUCUUUUGCUAUAUGAAGUCUUUAGCCCUGGAAAAAAAUCAUAAGCAAGCUUUUCGGGACGAAGCGCCGCCGCCACGAGGCGAAACCUGGCAAAACCAAUCUAGGGCUCCGGCGGAGCUGUUCUGCUGGGGAAACAUCCCUCCGGGAGGGGGAAAUCGUCACCAUCGUCAUCACCAUCGAUCCUCUCAUCGGGAGGGGGUCAAUCUCCAUCAACAUCUUCACCAGCACCAUCUCCUCUCAAUGGCUGGGAACGUAGUAAUUUCAAAAAAGUUCCUACGCACAUGCAAGAUCAUGGUGAUGCAUAGCAACGAGAGGGGAGAGUGUCGUCUACGUACCCUCGUAGACCGUAAGCGGAAGCGUUAUGGCAAUGCGGUUGAUGUAGUCGUACGUCUUCACGAUCGACCGAUCCCAGCACCGAAGUUACGGCACCUCCGCGGACUGCACAUGUUCAGCUCGGUGACGUCCCACGAACUCACGAUCUAGUAGAGCUUCACGGGAGAGUUCCGUCAGCACGACAGCGUGGUGACGGUGUUGAUGAAGUUACCGUCGCAGGGCUUCGCCUAAGCACCGCUACGAUAUGACCGAGGUGGAUUAUGGUGGAGGGGGGCACCGCACACGGCUAAGAGAGAUCAAUGAUCAACUUGUGUGUCUUUGGGGUGCCCCCUGCCCCCGUAUAUAAAGGAGCAAGGGGGGAGGCCGGCUGGCCCUAACAGGGCGCGCCAGGAGGAGUCCUACUCCCACCGGGAGUAGGAUCCCCCCUUCCUAGUUGGACUAGUAGAGAAGGAAGGGGAAGAGAGGGAGGAAGGAAAGGGGGGCGCCGCCCCCCUCCUAGUCCAAUUUGGACCAGAGGGGGAGGGGGCACGCGGCCUGCCCUGGCCUCCUCUCUCUGUCCACUAUGGCCCAUUAAGGCCCAUACAAUUACCGGGGGGGGGGGGGAGGUUCCGGUAACCUCCCGGUACUCUGGUAAAAUCCCGAUUUCACCCGGAACCAUUCCGAUGUCCAAAUAUAGGCUUCCAAUAUAUCGAUCUUUACGUCUCGACCAUUUCAAGACUCCUCGUCAUGUCCGUGAUCAUAUCUGGGACUCCGAACUACCUUCGGUACAUCAAAACACAAAAACUCAUAAUACCGAUCGUCACAGAACUUUAAGCGUGCGGACCCUACGGGUUCGAGAACUAUGUAGACAUGACCGAGACACAUCUCCGGUCAAUAACCAAUAGCGGAACCUGGAUGCUCAUAUUGGUUACUACAUAUGCUACGAAGAUCUUUAUUGGUCAAACCGCAUAACAACAUACGUUGUUCCCUUUGUCAUCGGUAUGUUACUUGCCCGAGAUUUGAUCGUCGGUAUCUCAAUACCUAGUUCAAUGUCGUUACCGGCAAGUCUCUUUACUCGUUCCGUAAUGCAUCAUCUCGCAACUAACUCAUUAGUCACAUUGCUUGCAAGGCUUAUAGUGAUGUGCAUUACCGAGAGGGCCCACAGAUACCUCUCCGACAAUCGGAGUGACAAAUCCUAAUCUCGAUCUAUGCCAACUCAACAAGUACCAUCGGAGACACCUGUAGAGCACCUUUAUAAUCACCAAGUUAUGUUGUGACAUUUGGUAGCACACAAAGUGUUCCUCCGGUAUUCGGGAGUUGCAUAAUCUCAUAGUCAUAGGAACAUGUAUAAGUCAUGAAGAAAGCAAUAGCAAUAUACUCAACGAUCAGAUGCUAAGCUAACGGAAUGGGUCAAGUCAAUCACAUCAUUCUCCUAAUGAUGUGACCCCAUUAAUCAAAUGACAACUCAUGUCUAUGGCUAGGAAACUCAACCAUCUUUGAUCAACGAGCUAGUCAAGUAGAGGCAUACUAGUGACACUAUGUUUGUCUAUUUAUUCACACAUGCAUUAUGUUUUCGGUUAAUUCAAUUCUAGCAUGAAUAAUAAACAUUUAUCAUGAUAUAAGGAAAUAAAUAAUAACUUUAUUAUUGCCUCUAGGGCAUAUUUCCUUUAGUCUCCCACUUGCACUAGAGUCAAUAAUCUAGUUCACAUCGCCAUGUGAUUUAACACCAAUAGUUCACAUCACCAUGUGAUUAAUACCCAUAGUUCACAUCGCCAUGUGACCAACACUCAAAGGUCUACUAGAGUCAGUAAUCUAGUUCGCAUCGCCAUGUGAUUAACACCCAAAGAGUACUAAGGUGUGAUCAUGUUUUGCUUGUGAGAGAAGUUUAGUCAACGGGUCUGCCAAAUUCAGAUCCGUAUGUAUUUUGCAAAUUUCCAUGUCUACAAUCCUCUGCACGGAGCAACUUUAGCUAAUUGCUCCAACUUUUAAUAUGUAUCCAGAUUGAGACUUAGAGUCAUCUGGAUCAGUGUCAAACUUGCAUCGACGUAACCCUUUACGACGAACCUUUUGUCACCUCCAUAAUCGAGAAACAUAUCCUUAUUCCACUAAGGAUAAUUUUGACCGCUGUUCAGUGAUCUACUCCUAGAUCACUAUUGUACUCCCUUGCCAAACUCAGUGUAGGGUAUAUAAUAGAUCUGGUACCCAUCAUGGCAUACUUUAUAGAACCUAUGGCUGAGGCAUAGGGAAUGACUUUCAUUCUCUUUCUAUCUUCUGCCGUGGUCGGGCUUUGAGUCUUACUCAAUUUCACACCUUGUAACACAGGCAAGAACUCUUUCUUUGACUGUUCCAUUUUGAACUACUUCAAAAUCUUGUCAAGGUAUGUACUCAUUGAAAAAACUUAUCAAGCGUCUUGAUCUAUCUCUAUAGAUCUUGAUGCUCAAUAUGUAAGCAGCUUCACCGAGGUCUUUCUUUGAAAAACUCCUUUCAAAUACUCCUUUAUGCUUUCUAGAAAAUUCUACAUUAUUUCUGAUCAACAAUAUGUCAUUCGCAUAUAUUUAUCAGAAAUGCUGUAGUGCUCCCACUCACUUUCUUGUAAAUACAGGCUUUACCGCAAAUCUGUAUAAAACUAUAUGCUUUGAUCAACUCAUCAAAGUGUAUAUUCCAACUCCGAGAUGCUUGCACCAGUCCAUAGAUGGAUCGCUGGAGCUUGCACAUUUUGUUAGCACCUUUAGGAUCGACAAAACCUUCUGGUUGCAUCAUAUACAACUCUUCUUUAAGAAAUCCAUUAAGGAAUGUAGUUUUGACAUCUAUUUGCCAGAUUUCUCAAAAUGUGGCAAUUUUCUAACAUGAUUCGGACAGACUUAAGCAUCGCUACGAGUGAGAAAAUCUCAUCGUAGUCAACCCUUUGAACUUGUCGAAAACCUUUCGCAACAAGUCGAGCUUUGUAGACAGUAACAUUACCGUCAGCGCCAGUCUUCUUCUUGAAGAUCCAUUUAUUCUCUAUGGCUUGCCGAUCAUCGGGCAAGUCAACCAAAGGCCACACUUUGUUCUCAUACAUGGAUCCCAUCUCAGAUUUCAUGGCCUCAAACCAUUUUGCGGAAUCUGGGCUCACCAUCGCUUCCUCAUAGUUCGUAGGUUCGUCAUGGUCAAGUAACAUGACCUCAAGAACAGGAUUACCAUACCACUCUGGUGCGGAUCUCACUCUGGUUGACCUACGAGGUUCGGUAGUAACUUGAUAUGAAGUUUGAUGAUCAUCAUCAUUAGCUUCCUCACUAAUUGGUGUAGGAGUCACAUGAACAGAUUUCUGUGAUGAACUACUUUCCAAUAAGGGAGCAGGUACAGUUACCUCAUCAAGUUCUACUUUCCUCCCACUCACUUCUUUCGAGAGAAACUUCUUCUCUAGAAAGGAUCCAUUCUUAGCAACGAAUGUCUUGCCUUCGGAUCUGUGAUAGAAGGUGUACCCAACUGUCUCCUUUGGGUAUCCUAUGAAGACACAUUUCUCCGAUUUGGGUUUGAGCUUAUCAGGAUGAAACUUCUUUCACAUAAGCAUCGCAACCCCAAACUUUAAGAAACGACAACUUUGGUUUCUUGCCAAACCACAGUUCAUAUGGUGUCGUCUCAACGGAUUUAGAUGGUACCCUAUUUCACGUGAAUGCAGCUGUCUCUAAUGCAUAACCCCAAAACGAUAGUGGUAAAUCGGUAAGAGACAUCAUAGAUUGCACUAUAUCUAAUAAAGUACGGUUACGAUGUUCGGACACACCAUUACGCUGUGGUGUUCCAAGUGGCAUGAGUUGCGAAACUAUUCCGCAUUGUUUCAAAUGAAGACCAAACUCGUAAUUCAAAUAUUCUCCUCCACGAUGAGAUCGUAGAAACUUUAUUUUCUUGUUAUGAUGAUUUUCCACUUCACUCUGAAAUCAUCUGUGAAGGUUAGAAAAUAAUGAUACCCGCUGUCGUGGAAUUGUCACGUCAGAUGUCCUCGAGCUAGGACUUAGUCGUGGAGCCAUCGCUACUAGGAAUCUUGAAGGGGUUAUGCGGGACAAGGAACACGAUGAUUUAUACUGGUUUGGCCCCUUACGGUGAAGGUAAAAGCCUACGUCCAGUUUGAGGUGUUAUUGAUUAGGGUUACGAUCGCCAGGGAGUUAAACAGCUACGCCCGGCUUUCGAUGAGAUUGUUGUCGCCCUUAAACCGCUGCCGGGUCCUCCCUUUAUAUAGGGAGGCUGACGCCCAGCAGCCCUUAGAGACCCGGCCGGCUCAUAAGAGCGUCCGGCUCGGACUCUAAACAAUACUUGCCUUACACUACAAGUCUACUAUAACAAUGAUAGUAACUACGGGCUUUAAACCAUAUCCGGGUCUCAGCCCAUCUCUGGCCCAUCAUCUUAGAACUUAACUGCGGGCUUCUGGCAAUGACCCUUAGAGUAACCCGGCCCUCCUGGUGGGUGACUCCAAGGUCUAUAUCCUCAACAUUAGGCCCCAGAUUGACUUGAGCCGGCUCGCGUCAAUCUUCAACUCUGCCGACAGAGAAAAUCUCCGGCUUACCAUUCAUGUGAAGGCCAUAACCCGGAGUGACGUCAUCCUCUGGACUCCGGAUAAUCCGCCGUGACGUCAUCCUCCAUUAAGUCCGUUUUUUACUCCGCCAGAUCCGCAACGGAUCUUUGCUUUUACUGUCAUUCCGAAAAUCGAGGCGCCGUGAGGGGGAGAUAACCACGCCGUGGUCUCCUUGAAUCUCGCGCCCACUUAUGACUCUGCCUUAUAAAUAGGCCGGCCCAACGCUUUCUUCUCACGCUCUCCUUCUUCCUCCUCGCACCGUCGCUCUUCUGCCCGAGCUCUGCCACUGCCGCCGCCGUCGCGCCCUUGACCUUCAUCAACCCGGUCGCUGCAUCACCCUGACUCGGACCAGAUAACGGCGGCGACUUCCGCUCUUCCCCAACUCCGGUGAGUCUCCUCCGCCUUACGAGAACAGAUCUGUGGUAGAGUUCGUCUGUGUUCUUCAUGUUCGUCACCAUAGCCACAAGUUUCGGUAGCUCCGGUAGUCACUACCCCUGUUGAUCUUAACUCUUCGUAGAACCACUGCGGUAGAUGUUUGAGAUCUAUUUCACCUGCAAAAAACCCUCUUUUUACUACAUAAGAACCAUGUUCCACCUCAAGAACUUCUCCUGCCUCUGUUUUUUAGGUCUAGAAAAUUUUCAUUUCGCCCGACCAUUUUGAUCCGAAAAAGUUACUGCAAUAUGUGAAAUCUGUUUUACCACACUUAGUAAAAACUGCAGCCCUUGAAUCUUGGCGGCUUAUAUUUCCGACUUAAAGAAAACACACGCCGUAGAACUUUCCGGUUUAAAGAGAACCAUGCUCUGUAGAAUCCUCCGGCUUAACUGCAGUAAGCCGUAGAUGACCAACUCAUUCUGAAUGCCCCUACUGCUUAGAUAACCCACCGCAUCUGAAUAGAUAUCAUGAGUCCCCUUCAUAAGCCGCCAUUGUAGUUUGAAUGAUAAUCUCCGGCUUACAAUUAACCCGGACACUUUUCUCUUUACCAUAGACCACCAACCUUCACCAUGCCUCCCAAGGCUCCCAUCACUUGCAACUGGAUGAGAUCCAACGUUACGGACGACACCCUGGCCAACUUCGUUAAGUCCGGAUAUCUGCCCAAGAAGGAAGUGACGUCCUACCGUGCCCCUGAUCCAUCCGAAGAAAGACCACAGCCGAGGGACGGGGAGGUAGUGAUCUUUGCAGACCAUAUGAGCCGGGGCUUCGCACCGCCCGGCUCAAAAUUCUUCCGGGACGUGCUCAACUUCUUUGACCUUCGGCCUCAGGAUAUAGGACCCAACUCCGUAUCCAACAUCUGCAACUUCCAAGUCUUUUGCGAAGUAUACCUUGGAGAGGAGCCCAGUUUGCUGCUGUUCAGAGAACUGUUCUACUUAAACCGCCAAAACGAGUGCGCGAACGGGCCAAGUCUGGAAUUAGGCGGCAUCUCCAUCCAACGGCGCAGGGACUGUCUAUUCCCUUACGCAGAGCCGCCAAGCCACCCCAAGGACUGGAAUAUGACUUGGUUCUACUGCCAAGACACGUCCCCGGCUGACGAGAACCCGCUGCCCGGCUUUCGCCCAACACGCCUAGAGCCGACUCAUCCGCUAUCCGACAAACUGACUGCCGCGGAACGCCAGCCUCUGCUUCCAACGAUUAAUAAGAUCAAGGCCCUGCUAGGCAACGGUCUGAACGGAAUAGACCUGGUCCGGGUCUGGAUCUCAUGGCGGGUGAUCCCAUUGAGCCGCCGCCCCGGCUUAAUGUGUGAGUACACCGGGCGAAAGGAUGACCCGCAGAGGCACAGUCGCAAUGAUCUUCCAGAAGACGUUGCUGAAGAAGAGACCAAGGCUCUGUUAAACGAGAGCCUGGCAGACUGUGGAAGAACCGGGCUAGCCCCGUUCUGCAAGACCAAUCCAGCCCCAGCGGUAAACCGCUGACUUUAACCUUUCAACUUCUUUUGCAUGUCACCUUGCUCUGAACCAUUUUAAGAAUUCAUUACUGUAUUUCUCAGGCUGAUGAUAAAUUCUGGCGGGUCAAGUAUGACCAUGAGGCGGCCAAGAAGGCCAGGAAGGCGAAGAAAGCCGCCAAGAAAGCUGCCCCUCGCAAAAAGGGAAGCAGACCCACUGCUUCGGAGCUACUGCAAUUAAGCGACAGCUCCGAGUCAGAGGUAACCCUUAAACCUUUAAACUCUUGCCAUAUUUGUUGUUUGUUGCUGUCCGCCUUAUCAACAUUUUGCUUAUUGACAGGAUGACACCGGCGCCAGUAACCCGGUGGUUGAAGAGGUAACAUCACUUUCCUCCGACUCGGAGCCUUUGCCACAGUUGAAAGUCCGAAGAGUAACCCGGAAAGUAAGCUUUUCUCAUCCAUUAGCUCAUCAAGACCCUCAAUUUCUUUUGAAGCAGCAGGUUCAUGAAAGCCGGCGUCACACCCGGGCCCGCAAGGACACCGACCUCUCCGCCGGGUUACCCGACGCAACAAGGAAGCGUCGCACUGAGGUUUUUUCUCACAUGUACCCUUUUCAUCCGUUGGCGGGUGUCAUCCGUCAGCCACUCAACUCUUCUGACUCCAAUUAUCAGGAGACCUCCCCCUCGUCGGGUGACUCCAUGCAGUCAAGUCUACCGGCUUUCAAGACUGCACCCGGGUAAUAACAAUCUCCUUACAUUAUCUGUCUGUACUUAUUCCUUGUGUGCCUGACACUUCUGCUUUUUCAGUGCCCAGGCAAAGCUCACCAAAAGAGCAAAGAAGACCAGGUUAGCCGGAGUGCCGGACUUGCCUGAGCCGGAGGCGACGGCUCAAGAGCCGCCAGCUGCCUCCGCCCCUGAAGCCACUAUUCCCAUGGACACGGCACCUGAAGCCCCUGCCCCGACUACUAAGACAACGACCGAAGCGUCGGUUAACCCGGAGGCCUCCGGCUCAGCCCCACCAACUGACGACCCGGACGUGGUAAUUACCCGGACGGAGUAUGUUGAGCCGGGGCGGCCGACCGUGCUAGCCAAAUGCUCCGCGAAGGGGGGGGUUGCUGCAGCCCCACCGGGUGAAUCUGGACCUCUCCAGCUACACCAACUUGAGCGUUGGAGAGCUCGUCUCUGGCUACAUCAACCAAGUUCACAAGAGCCGGGACGCCGAGAUCGCCAUGGUCAACCAGAUCCAACAAAAAUCUGAGGUAUCCUUCUGCUGUCUUCUUACUUUCCGCAUAGUGACCCUUGUCAUGCUAGCCCCCAAGUCGACAACUUAUACUUGAACAUGUUGUAGACUUAGGCCCCGGCUUACUCAAUUAAGCCGGCAGUACGUAGAUAGAUACGUUCAAUACGCAUUAGCCCCCAAGUGCCAAGUGUCUUUGCUUGGAAAGCGCUUGGGACUUAUGGAAUGACUGUUAAUAACCCGGAAAUAUAUGCAGGCUAUUGGCAAGAAAUUAGAGUCGGAUCUUGCGGAUCUCAAGAGCCGGCUAAAGACUCAAGAGAUGGAGACCCGGAAGGCAAACGCCAAGUUUGUCUCCAGCAUCGCCGCUCAAGAGAAGCUGAAGACCGAAUUUGAUGCUGAGCGGAAGGCCUGGGCGGAGGAGAAAGCCGCACUGGUAACCCGGGCGGAACAGGCGGAGAAGGCGCUCUCUGAAAAAACCGCCGAGCUCUCCAGCCUAAAGCGCCAAGUGUCCCAAAUGGUAGCCGCCAUCUUCGGUAAGUCGCCUCACCGGUUUUCAUCCAUGUUAGAAUGUUUACAUUUCCUGAUUCAUCCUUGUCACCGGGUCAUCUGAUGUUGUUAAACAGGUUCCAGAAGCGCUAACCUGAACCAGAGCGUGGUCACCAAGUUAAAGGCCAUGUACACCCUGGUGGAACAGCUCUACACCGGGUCACAGCGGGCCUUAGCUGUGGUGGCCCUAUCCAAUGAGGUGCCAACUCAUCUGGCCGAAGUCCUGCGCCGGCUCGCAGUUCUGCCGCAGCGGAUCCAGGAGCUACGACGAGCAUCCGCGAGAGCCGGAGCAAUCGCCGCGCUGAGCCGGGCCAAAGCAUUCUUGCCAGAGCUAGACCCGGCAGACAUCGCCCUGGGUUACCCCAGCCUGAAGGAAGACGGCUCAGCGUUCGACCAGAAGGAUUUCGCGGCGUGUGUGAAGGCUGUACGCCCGGUGGCUACCAUCAUCGGGAACGACACCGAUUUAACCAAGUAUCAGCCGGGAUAUAACGCGGAGAAUCAGAGGAUUCCAACCCCUCGCUAUGAAGCUCUCAAUCUGAUUCCUCCGGCUCGCCAGCACACCUUCGCCCCGGAGAUUAACCCGGCCGGGUUAAUCGACGAAGAAGCCCAGUUCGAAGCUCUCCGCGGCAUCGACUGGAAAUCGUCAACCUUCGAGGUCUUGGGAUCAACCGAAGCAGAAGACGAGCCGGGGACUUCAACCCAGCAGGCAUCAUAAAGCAGCUGGCGGUUCACCAAAUAACGCUCCAACCUUGAGACUUGAGGAAUUCUGUAAUAGACUAGGUGCGACAAUUUAUCUCUGCCGUGCCAUCGUGCACGUAAUGAAUGCUGAAAUCCCUUGAAAUUAUCUUUUUAAUGUUCCUCCGGGUCAUAGUUAUCCCUUUGUCCUUCUCAACCUUAAAAGGUGCCUUUAAGUAUCUGCAUAGAAAGGCAAAUCACAAGUCUCAAGGCGGCUUACCACCCUGAGAACCAGGUGUCUGAGAUGGAUAACCUGGAAUAUGAAUCAAAAAGGCUGGUCCUUAGUUAUACUCUGAACAUAGCCGUGAUAACACACUUAACGGUCUGUAAGCAUACUUCUGGAUUAAAUAACCCGGGUAGCACGGUUGGUAUCUUAACUCUAAUUGACUUGCCUUGAUGACAUCCAUGAUGCUCAAUUAACAAGAUAAACUCAAAAUUAAACCGGCAGGUGAAACCCGGCCAUGCACACUUUGUCAUAAUCAGAGUAAACUUGUGAUAAAUCAGAACUUAGGGGCUUCCAGUUCGGAUACGACCAGAGACCCGGCCCAAAAGGGGUUAAGCCAAGAUUCGGAUACGAUCAUAUAGCCCCCAAUGGGUGUGGCGAUGCCAAUCAAGAGGGUACCGACAGCUAUGUUCUCUUGGGUUCGAAUACGACCCAUGUUUGAACAGGAAGCCCCCAAGUGAUUCUUAAAAUUGUUUAACGACGCUGAUUCGAAUACGAUCCACGUCGGUUCUCAGAGGGGUUAAACUGUGAUUCAAAUAUGAUCAAAGUUAACGUCCCAACGAGCUCGGCACUGUGCCAAUCAAGUGGGUACCGAUAGCUAUGUUCUCUUUGGUUCGAAUACGACCCAUGUUUGAACAGGAAGCCCCCAAGUGACCUUACUACAUACGGCUAGACUCAGAUACGAUCAUAAGCCGGAUCCUCCACAAAUCAGCAUGUAAAAAUAACACACGCAUAACUGGAGGAGAAAAAAGGACAGAGGUCCUGCUUUAUUGCUUAUCAUAAUAUAUACAUGUCUGAGAUAAAUAUGUACACCACGAGAACCGGUAGCUCAAGUGUAGUAAGGCCGAAGCUGAGCUAUAUUCCACGGCCGACGGGUCUCCUCCUCAGAUUUACGCGAAUCUUUAUGUUCCCGAAUAUCAAUGAGGUAAUAUGACCCGUUGUGCAAGUUCUUACUAACCACAAAGGGUCCUUCCCAAGGUGGGGAUAACUUGUGUACAUCUGUUUGAUCCUGGAUGAGCCGGAGCACAAGGUCGCCUUCCUGGAAGACCCGGGAUUUGACCCGGCGGCUAUGAUAACGGCGCAGGUCUUGUUGGUAAAUCGCUGAAUGGGCUGCUGCCACAUCACGCUGUUCGUCCAAUAAGUCCAGAGCAUCUUGGCGCGCCUGUUCAUUAUCCGUCUCAACAUAAGCCGCCACACGAGGUGAAUCGUGACGGAUGUCGCUGGGGAGGACUGCUUCUGCUCCAUAAAUCAUGAAGAAAGGCAUGAAGCCUGUAGACCUGUUAGGAGUAGUGUUGAUGCUCCAUAAGACGGAGGGCAACUCCUCCACCCAACAACCCGGCGUCCGUUGCAAAGGGACCAAAAGCCGGGGCUUGAUGCCCUUCAGAAUCUCCUGGUUAGCUCUCUCAGCUUGACCAUUGGAUUGGGGGUGAGCCACUGAAGAAACAUCAAGUCGGAUAUGCUCUCGUUGACAAAACUCUUCCAUAGCACCCUUGGACAGAUUGGUGCCGUUGUCAGUUAUGAUGCUGUGCGGAAAGCCGAAGCAAAAAAUCACCUUUUUCAUAAAUUGAACCGCCGUAGCUGCAUCACACUUGCUAACUGGCUCAGCCUCCACCCACUUCGUAAAUUUGUCAACAGCCACCAAGAGGUGGGUCUUCUUAUCCUUGGACCGUUUAAAAGGCCCAACCAUAUCAAGCCCCCAGACCGCAGAGGGCCAAGUGAUUGGGAUAAUCCUCAACUCCUGAGCCGGCACAUGAGCCCGUCGUGAGAACAUUUGGCAACCAUCACACUUACUGACCAAGUCCUCUGCAUCAGCGUGAGCCGUCAGCCAAUAAAAACCAUGACGGAAAGCCUUGGCCACAAGAGAUUUUGAACCGGCAUGAUGGCCACAAUCCCCUUCAUGGAUCUCGCGUAAGAUCUCUUGACCUUCCUCAGGGGAGAUACAACGCUGAAACGCCCCUGAAACACUGCGAUGAUGCAACUCGCCAUCAAUAACAAUCAUUGACUUAGCCCGCCGGAUUACUUGCCUGGCCAGAGUUUCAUCCUCAGGCAACUCUCCCCGGGUUAUAUAAGCCAGAUAUGGCAUUGUCCAGUCUGGUAUGACAUGAAGAGCCGCCACCAGUCGUGCCUCCGGGUCAGGGAUAGCCAAGUCCUCUUCUGUAAGCAACUUAACCGAGGGGUUAUACAGGACAUCCAGGAAAGUGUUGGGCGGCACCGGCUUUCGCUGAGAGCCUAGCCGGCUUAAAGCAUCAGCCGCCUCAUUCUUCCUGCGAUCAAUGUGCUCCACUUGGUAUCCCUGAAAGUGCCCAGCAAUGGCAUCAACCUCGCGGCGAUAGGCCGCCAUGAGAGGAUCCUUAGAAUCCCAGGUGCCUGAUACUUGUUGAGCCACCAAAUCUGAGUCCCCAAAGCACCUUACCCGGCUUAAGCUCAUCUCCUUAGCCACCCGAAGACCGUGGAGCAAAGCUUCGUAUUCAGCCGCAUUGUUAGUGCAAGGAAACAUCAACCGUAGCACAUAAUGGAACUUGUCACCUUUAGGGGAAGCCAAUACAACACCAGCCCCCGAGCCCUCCAACUGUCUGGACCCAUCGAAGUGGAUAGUCCAAUAAGUGUUAUCCGGCUUUUGCUCAGGCACUUGAAACUCCGUCCAAUCAUUGAUGAAAUCCACCAAAGCCUGAGAUUUAACAGCAGUGCGUGGCACAUAUUUGAGGCCAUGGGGUCCAAGAUCUAUAGCCCACUUAGCAAUUCUCCCUGUAGCCUCUCUGUUCUGGAUAAUAUCACCAAGGGGGGCAGAACUGACCACAGUGAUGGGAUGACCCUGAAAAUAAUGUUUGAGCUUCCGGCUCGCCAUGAACACACCGUAUACGAGCUUCUGCCAAUGCGGGUACCGCUGCUUGGACUCAAUGAGCACCUCGCUGACAUAAUAAACCGGCCGCUGAACCGGAUGCUCCUUACCCGCCUCCUUGCGCUCCACUACAAUAGCCACGCUGACGGAUCGUGCAUUUGCCGCUACAUAUAGUAGCAAGGGUUCCUUAUCAACCGGAGCAGCAAGGACGGGGGGCUCUGCCAGUUGCUUUUUCAAAUCCUCAAAAGCGGUAUCAGCUGCAUCAUUCCAGAUAAAGUUAUCAGUUUUCUUCAUCAACUGAUAUAAGGGCAUAGCUUUCUCACCCAAACGGCUUAUAAACCGGCUUAAAGCAGCGAUGCGGCCCGCCAAACACUGAACGUCAUUUAUACAUGCCGGCUUAGCCAGGGAGGUGAUAGCCUUGAUCUUCUCCGGGUUAGCCUCAAUGCCUCUGUCAGAGACCAAGAAACCCAAUAGUUUGCCUGCAGGAACACCAAAAACACAUUUGGCCGGGUUAAGCAUCAUCUUGUAGACCCGGAGAUUAUCGAAGGUUUCCCUUAAUUCAUCUAUCAGGGUUUCCUCCUUUAACCACAAUAUCAUCCACGUAAGCGUGAACAUUGCGCCCGAUCUGUUUAUGAAGACAAUUCUGUACACAACGCUGGUAAGUCGCCUGUGCACACUUGAGCCCAAAGGGCAUAGACACAUAGCAGAAGGCUCCAAAGGGAGUGAUGAACGCCGUCUUCUCCUGGUCCUUAACUGCCAUCUUAAUCUAAUGAUACCCGGAAUAGGCAUCCAAGAAACUUAAGCGUGCACAACCUGCCGUAGCAUCAAUGAUUUGAUCAAUACGGGGGAGAGCAAAAGGAUCAGCCGGACACGCCUUGUUCAAGUCCGUGUAGUCCACACACAUCCGCCAGGUGCCGUUCUUCUUGAGUACGAGCACCGGGUUAGCCAACCACUCCGGGUGAAAAACCUCAACAAUGAACCCGGCCGCCAAGAGCCGGGCCACUUCUUCACUAAUAGCUUUCCGCCUCUCUUCGUUAAACCGUCGAAGGAACUGUCUGACCGGCUUAAAUUUUGGAUCAACAUUGAGAGUGUGCUCAGCGAGUUCUCUAGGUACACCUGGCAUGUCAGAAGGUUUCCACGCGAAGAUGUCCCUAUUCUCACGGAUGAACUCGAUGAGAGCGCUUUCCUAUUUUGGGCCCAGAUUUGCACUGAUGCUAAACUGCUGAGACGAGUCACCUGGAACAAAAUCAACAAGUUUAGUCUCAUCAGCUGAUUUAAAUUUCAUCGCUGGUUCAUUCUCCGUGGUUGGCUUUUUCAGAGAGGUCAUAUCUGUUGGGUCAACAUUGUCUUUAUAAAACUUCAACUCCUCUGUGGCGCAAACAGACUCUGCAUAAGCUGCUUCACCUUCCUCACACUCCAGAGCCACUCUCCGGCUGCCGUGAACCGUAAUGGUCCCAUUGUGACCCGACAUCUUGAGCUGUAAGUACACAUAACACGGCCGUGCCAUGAACUUGGCGUAAGCCGGCCGUCCAAAUAUAGCAUGGUACGGACUUCUUAUCUUGACCACCUCAAAGGUCAGCUUCUCCACUCUGUAGUUGUUCUCAUCACCAAAAGCCACUUCCAUCGAUCUUGCCGACUGGAUAAGCCGACUUACCGGGUACCACACCAUGGAAGAUGGUGUUUGACUGGCUGAGGUUCUUAUCCACCAAUCCCAUACGGCGAAAAGUCUCAUAAUAGAGGAUAUUGAUGCUGCUACCUCCAUCCAUGAGUACCUUUGUGAACUUAUAGCCUCCCACCUGAGGAGCCACUACUAAGGCCAAGUGGCCCGGGUUAUCCACCCGGGGAGGGUGAUCCUCCCUACUCCACACUAUAGGCUGCUCAGACCACCGCAAGUAGCGUGGAACCGCCGGCUCAACAGCAUUAACAGCCCUCUUGAGAAGCUUCUCGUCUCGUUUGCACAAACUAGUGGUGAACACGUGAUACUGUCCACCGCUAAGCUGCUUCGGGUUGGUCUGAUAACCCCCCUGCUGCUGUUGAUGACCCUGACCAGACUGUUGAUUAAAGCCCCCUUGACCGUUCUGAGGACCGGAAUUUGAGCCGCCGCCCGGGCCAUGAAAGCCGCCGGCGCCUGAGCCGCCGCCCGGACCAUUGUAGCUUUUAAAGGCCUUCAUGAUAGCACAAUCCUUCCACAGAUGAGUCGCUGGCUUCUCUCUAGAGCCAUGUCUCGGACAAGGUUCACUCAACAGUUGCUCCAGAGAAGGUCCUGACCCGCCGCCUCGGGGAGGGGGCCUCCCCUUGCGUCGCUGGUUAUUACUUUGAGAGUUGGUGUUGGCUACAAACUCUAGGCUGCCAUCGGCCUUACGCUUGCCUCCUCCUUGGUUCCCCGGGUUAAACUGAGGACCCUUGCCGCUGCCAUUCUUCUUUCCCUUCCCUGCCCUUUCAUCGUCUGAAGGGGGAUCCUUGGUACCAUCGGAAUCGGCGUACUUGACAAGAGCCGCCAUUAGGGUACCCAUAUCGGUGCAGUCGCGUUUGAGCCGCCCGAGCUUCAUCUUAAGGGGCACAAAGCGACAGUUUUGUUCCAACAUUAAGACUGCAGAGCCGGCAUCCAUCUUAUCUGAUGAAUGUAUGAUCUCCUUGACCCGGCGAACCCAAUGGGUCGUGGACUCACCCUCCUGCUGCUUACAGUUAGUCAAAUCCACAAUUGACAUAGAUUGCCUGCAGGUAUCUUUGAAGUUUUGAAUGAACCGGGCUUUCAGCUCAGCCCAAGACCCAAUGGAGUUCGGCGGUAACCCUUUCAACCACGUGCGGGCAGUUCCAUCUAACAUCAUGGUGAAAUAUUUGGCCAUGGCCGCCUCACUGACCUCCAGCAAUUCCAUGGCCAUCUCAUAACUCUCAAUCCAGGCUGUAGGCUGUAAGUCCGCUGUAUAAUUAGGCACCUUCCUAGGGCCCUUGAAGUCCUUAGGUAGACGUUCAUUACGGAUGGCUGGUACCAAACAAGGGACACCCCCGGUCCUGGUGGAAAUUCCCACAUCAACGGACGUCGUUCGAUACGCCGGGGGGGGGGGGUCUGGUAAGCCGUCAAUUGAGGCGCCUGUUCCGCCUCUUGCCGUGCUUGGCCUGCUGCGUAAAAGGCUCCAUUAGGAAUCGGGCCAUGGCCAGGGGGCGGGUCAUGGCGUCGAACAUUACUUGAGCCGGUUGCUGAGACCAUGUGCCGGCUGUAACUCGGGCUCUGGCCUGGACGAGGGGUCGAGUGGAUCCUGUCCCGGCUGUAGGAGUACGCCUCUUGCUGUGCCAGCGCUGUUUGAAGGAGUUCCCUGACCCGGCGGGUCUCGAUAGCCGUCGGAGAGUCACCGUCAACUGGUAGGGCCGCCAGCCGUGAUGCCGCAGCGACCAUGUUCUCCAGCGGGUUGUUAUAAUGACCCGGGGGUAUUGGCACGUACUGAGGCGGGGCAGGGGGCACCUGGGGAGGCCCCAUCACUCGCGGCUGAAUAAGGGGUCCAGACCCGGGUGCCAUGACCCCUGGCGGGUUACUAGACCCUGCACCUGGCGUGUUGAAGAGGUUGCGGGGAUCGUAAACCGGCGGGAGUCGGGACUGGGCCUUUUGAUGCCUCCUUCUCAUGACCUCAUUGGCCGCGUUCUGAUCCAUCGUGAGUUGUAAGGACUGCGCCUGAAUCAACUGAGUCCGGGCAUCGAGAGCCGCCCGCUCUGCAGCCAGCCUGAUUCCUUCUGCCGCAAGAUCUUCUUUAGCUUUUAUCAGAUCCAAUUUCAACUGUGCCACCUCCGCAUCAUGCUGGGCUUGAUCCGCCGGGUCAACCGUGGCGGUUAACAGGGCCGUCAUCUUGUCCGUGAGAUCCAUCAGCACCUGAGCCGGAGAAGGCACCGGGUUUCCCGCUCCAGCAGCAGGGUUCUGAACAGGCUGCGCACCAGCCAUAAAAACUCCAACCUGACUUGGUGGCUCAAAAAGGUCCGGAAUACUGUCACCGUCGGAACAACCCAUGAGCCUGCCAUCUUGAAGUUGGUACAAUGAGUUUGACUCAUCAGUGGCCGACUCGCCGUCAGAGCCGGCGGCCGCCUCAUCACCGGACCCGGAUGGAUCAGAGGGCCCUCCAUGGAUGCAUCCCACAAAAGCGCGCCUUAAGGCAGGCCGGGCCCGGGCGGGUUGUGCGCGCUGAGCCGUUUCGAUGAGAUCGGCGCGGAGAUCCGGCUCGGGGCCCGGCUCACCAAUCUUGCCAAUGAAGACAUGAAUUCCGCCAAAGGGGACCCGGUACCCAUACUCAAUUGAGCCGGCGUCGGGGCCCCAGUCCGCAUCGUCGAUGUAGAGCUUGCCGCGACGACUCUUGGUCAUCCGGCCCACAGCGUAUCCCUUGAGCCCUUCGAAGCUGCCCUUCAAGAACUCAAAUCCACCGUGCGCUGGCCCCACGGUGGGCGCCAACUGUCGUGGAAUUGUCACGGCAGAUGUCCUCGAGCUAGGACUUAGUCGUGGAGCCAUCGCUACUAGGAAGCUUGAAGGGGUUAUGCGGGACAAGGAACACGGGGAUUUAUACUGGUUCGGCCCCUUACGGUGAAGGUAAAAGCCUACGUCCAGUUUGAGGUGUUAUUGAUUAGGGUUACGAUCGCCAGGGAGUUAAACAGCUACGCCCGGCUUUCGAUGAGAUUGUUGUCGCCCUUAAACCGCUGCCGGGUCCUCCCUUUAUAUAGGGAGGCUGACGCCCAGCAGCCCUUAGAAACCCGGCCGGCUCAUAAGAGCGUCCGGCUCGGACUCUAAACAAUACUUGCCUUACACUACAAGUCUACUAUAACAAUGAUAGUAACUACGGGCUUUAAACCAUAUCCGGGUCUCAGCCCAUCUCUGGCCCAUCAUCUUAGAACUUAACUCCAGGCUUCUGGCAAUGACCCUUAGAGUAACCCGGCCCUCCUGGUGGGUGACUCCAAGGUCUAUAUCCUCAACACCCGCCGUGAGCCUCAACACUCAUCGGAUCGCAUACAUCAGUAUGUAUUAUUUCCAAUAAGUCAGUUGCUCGCUCCAUUGUUCCGGAGAACGGAGUCUUAGUCAUCUUACCCAUAAGGCAUGGUUCACAAGCAUCAAGUGAUUCAUAAUCAAGUGAUUCCAAAAUCCCAUCAGCAUGGAGUUUCUUCAUGCGCUUUACACCAAUAUGACCUAAACGGCAAUGGCACAAAUAAGUUGCACUAUCAUUAUUAACUUUGCAUCUUUUGGCUUCAAUAUUAUGAAUAUGUGUAUCACUACAAUCGAGGUCCAACAAAUCAUUUUCAUUGGGUGUAUGACCAUAGAAGGUUUUAUUCAUGUAAACAGAACAACAAUUAUUCUCUAACUUAAAUGAAUAACCGUAUUGCAAUAAACAUGAUCAAAUCAUAUUCAUGCUUAACGCAAACACCAAAUAACAUUUAUUUAGGUUCAACACUAAUCCCGAAAGUAUAGGGAGUGUGCGAUGAUGAACUUAUCAAUCUUGGAACCACUUCCAACACACAUCGUCACUUCACCCUUAACUAGUCUCUGUUCAUUCUGCAACUCCCGUUUCGAGUUACUAAUCUUAGCAACUGAACUAGUAUCAAAUACUGAUGGGUUGCUAUAAACACUAGUAAAGUACACAUCAAUAACAUGUAUAUCCAAUAUACCUUUGUUCACUUUGCCAUCCUUCUUAUCCGCCAAGUAUCUAGGGUAGUUCCACUUCCAGUGCCCAUUUCCUUUGCAGUAGAAGCACUCAAUUUCAGGUUUGGGUCUAGCUUUGGGCUUCUUCACGGGAGCAGCAACUUGCUUGCUGUUCUUUUUGAAGUUCCCCUUCUUCCCUUUGCCCUUUUCUUGAAACUAGUGGUCUUGUCAACCAUCAACACUUGAUGCUUUUCUUGAUUUCUACCUUCAUCGAUUUCAGCAUCACGAAGAGCUUGGGAAUCGUUUUAGUUAUCCCUUGCAUAUUAUAGUUCAUCACGAAGUUCUAGUAACUUGGUGAUAGUGACUAGAGAACUCUGUCAAUCACUAUCUUAUCUGGAAGAUUAACUCCGACUUGAUUCAAGUGAUUAUAGUACUCAGACAUUCUGAGCACAUGCUCACUAGCUGAGCUAUUCUCCUCCAUAUUGUAGGAAAAGUACUUGUCAAAGGUCUCAUACCUUUCGACAUGGGCACGAGUCUUAAAUCCUAAUUUCAACUCUUGGAACAUCUCAUAUGCUCCGUGGCGUUUCAAAAACGUCUUUGAAGCCCCGAUUCUAAGCCGUAAAGCAUGGUGCACUAAACUAUCAAGUAGUCAUCAUAUCGAGCUUGCCAAACGUUCAUAACGUCUGCAUUUGCUCCUGCAAUCGGUCUGUCACCUAGCGGUGCAUCAAGGACAUAAUUCUUCUAUGCAACAAUGAGGAUAAUCCUCAGAUCACGGAUCCAAUCUGCAUCAUUGCUACUAACAUUUUUCAACUUAGUUUUCUCUAGGAACAUAACAAAAAAUAAAACAGGGGAGCUAAACGCGAGCUAUUGAUCUACAACAACAUAGACAAGCAAAAUACUAUCAGGUACUAAGUUCAUGAUAAAUUUAAGUUCAAUUAAUCAUAUUACUUAAGAACUCCCACUUAGAUAGACAUCUCUCUUAUCAUCUAAGUGAUCACGUGAUCCAUAUCAACUAAACCAUGUCCGAUCAUCACGUGAGAUGGAGUAGUUUUCAAUGGUGAACAUCACUAUGUUGAUCAUAUCUACUAUAUGAUUCACGCUCGACCUUUCGGUCUCCUCCGAGGCCAUAUCUGCAUAUGCUAGGCUCGUCAUGUUUAACCCGAGUAUUUCUGCGUGUGCAAAACUGGCUUGCACCCGUUGUAUGUGAACGUAGAGCUUAUCACACCCGAUCAUCACGUGGUGUCUCGGCACGACGGACUUUGGCAACGGUGCAUACCCAGGGAGAACACUUAUACCUUGAAAUUUAGUGAGAGAUCAUCUUAUAAUGCUACCGUCAAUCAAAGCAGAAUAAGAUGCAUAAAGGAUAAACAUCACAUGCAAUCAAUAUAAGUGAUAUGAUAUGGCCAUCAUCAUCUUGUGCCUUUGAUCUCCAUCUCCAAAGCACCGUCAUGAUCACCAUCGUCACCGGCUUGACACCUUGAUCUCCAUCGAAGCAUCAUUGUCGUCUCGCCAACUAUUGCUACUACGAUUAUCGCUACCACUUAGUGAUAAAGUAAAGCAAUUACAGGGCGAUUGCAUUGCAUACAAUAAAGCGACAACCAUAUGGCUCCUGCCAGUUGCCGAUAACUCUGUUACAAAACAUGAUCAUCUCAUACAAUAAAAUAUAGCAUCAUGUCUUGACCAUAUCACAUCACAACAUGCCCUGCAAAAACAAGUUAGACGUCCUCUACUUUGUUGUUGCAAGUUUUACGUGGCUGCUACGGGCUGAGCAAGAACCGUUCUUACCUACGCAUCUAAACCACAACGAUAUUUUGUCAAGUUAGUGCUGUUUUAACAUUCACAAGGACCGGGCGUAGCCACACUCAAUUCAACUAAAGUUGGAGAAACUGACACCCGCCAGCCACCUGUGUGCGAAGCACGUCGGUAGAACCAGUCUCGCGUAAGCGUACGCGUAAUGUCGGUCCGGGCCGCUUCAUCCAACAAUACCGCCGAAUCAAAGUAUGACAUGCUGGUAAGCAGUAUGACUAGUAUCGCCCACAACUCUCUUGUGUUCUACUCGUGCAUAUAACAUCUAUGCAUAAACCUGGCUCGGAUGCCGCUGUUGGGAAACGUAGUAAUUUCAAAAAAAUUCCUACGCACACGCAACAUCAUGGUGAUGCAUAGCAACGAGAGGGGAGAGUGUCGUCUACGUACCCUCGUAGACCGUAAGCAGAAGCGUUAUGGCAAUGCGGUUGAUGUAGUUGUACGUCUUCACGAUCGACCGAUCCCAGCACCGAAGUUACGGCACCUCGGCGGACUGCACACGUUUAGCUCGGUGACGUCCCAUGAACUCACAAUCCAGUAGAGCUUCGCAGGAGAGUUCCGUCAGCAUGACGGCAUGGUGAUGAUGUUGAUGAAGUUACCGACGCAGGGCUUCGCCUAAGCACCGCUACGAUAUGACCGAGGUGGAUUAUGGUGGAGGGGGGCACCGCACACGGCUAAGAGAGAUCAAUGAUCAACUUGUGUGUCUUUGGGGUGCCCCCUGCCCCCGUAUAUAAAUGAGCAAGGUGGAGGCCGGCCGGCCCUAGCAGGGCGCGCCAGGAGGAGUCCUACUCCCACCGGGAGUAGGAUUCCCCCCUUUCCUAGUUGGACUAGGAGAGAAGGAAGGGGGAGAGAGGGAGGAAGGAAAGGGGGGCGCCGCCCCCUCCUAGUCCAAUUCGGACCAGAGGGGGAGGGGGCGCGCGGCCUGCCUUGGCCUCCUCUCUCUCUCUCCACUAUGUCCCAUUAAGGCCCAUACAAUUACCGGACCCCCCGGUAACCUCCCGGUACUCCGGUAAAAUCCCGAUUUCACCCGGAACCAUUCCGAUGUCCAAAUAUAGGCUUCCAAUAUAUCGAUCUUUACAUCUCGACCAUUUCAAGACUCCUCGUCAUGUCCGUGAUCAUAUCCGGGACUCCGAACUACCUUCGGUACAUCAAAACACAAAAACUCAUAAUACCGAUCGUCACAGAACUUUAAGCGUGCGGACCCUAUGGGUUCGAGAACUAUGUAGACAUGACCGAGACACGUCUCCGGUCAAUAACUAAUAGCGGAACCUGGAUGCUCAUAUUGGUUCCUACAUAUUCUACGAAGAUCUUUAUCGGUCAAACCGCAUAACAACAUAUGUUGUUCCCUUUGUCAUCGGUUUGUUACUUGCCCGAGAUUCGAUCGUCGGUAUCUCAAUACCUAAUUCAAUCUCAUUACCGGCAUGUCUCUUUACUCGUUUCAUAAUGCAUCAUCCCGCAACUAACUCAUUAGUCACAUUGCUUGCAAGGCUUAUAGUGAUGUGCAUUACCGAGAGGGCCCAGAGAUACCUCUCCAACAAUCGGAGUGACAAAGCCUAAUCUCGAUCUAUGCCAACUCAACAAGUACCAUCGGAGACACCUGUUGUAACACCCCGGAUGUAACUUUCCAUAUUUGUAACUCCAACUCUUGCCAUUUUUGGCUAUGUGUUAUGAUAUUCCCUCCGUGGUCGGGUUUUCUCUUUCAUUUUGUAUUUUGUUCAUCUCAUGCAUCUCAUAUCAUGUCAUCAUGUGCAUUGCAUUUGCAUACGUGUUCGUCUCAUGCAUCCGAGCAUUUUCCCCGUUGUCCGUUUUGCAAUCCGGCGCUCCCAUCUCCUCCGGCGCACCCCUCUUGUUUUCUUUCGUGACCAGGUGUUGAAUGCUCUCGGAAUGGACCGAGGCUUGUCAAGUGGUCUUGGUAUACUACCGGGAGACCACCGGUCAAGUUUCGUUCCAUUUGGAGGUCGUUUGGUACUCCAACGGUUAACCGGGCAACCGCAAAGUCCAUUUGUGUGUUCCAGCAAAACCCCCCUCAAAAACAGCCCAAAACCCACCAAACUCUUUUCCAUGCUGUAGGUCGUUCGAUCACGAUCGUGUGGGCGAAAGCCGCACCUCAUUUGGACUCUCCUAGCUCCCUCUAGCUAUAUAAAUGCAUCCCCUCCCGAAAACAUCCGCAGUCCAAACCCUAAAAAUCGCCUCCGGCGCCGCCGGACGUGUCCUUACCGCGCCGGACGAACCUGCCGCCGCGUCCGCACCAGUCAGGAGCCGCCACGUGUCCAGCGCCGCCNNNNNNNNNNNNNNNNNNNNNNNNNNNNNNNNNNNNNNNNNNNNNNNNNNNNNNNNNNNNNNNNNNNNNNNNNNNNNNNNNNNNNNNNNNNNNNNNNNNNNNNNNNNNNNNNNNNNNNNNNNNNNNNNNNNNNNNNNNNNNNNNNNNNNNNNNNNNNNNNNNNNNNNNNNNNNNNNNNNNNNNNNNNNNNNNNNNNNNNNNNNNNNNNNNNNNNNNNNNNNNNNNNNNNNNNNNNNNNNNNNNNNNNNNNNNNNNNNNNNNNNNNNNNNNNNNNNNNNNNNNNNNNNNNNNNNNNNNNNNNNNNNNNNNNNNNNNNNNNNNNNNNNNNNNNNNNNNNNNNNNNNNNNNNNNNNNNNNNNNNNNNNNNNNNNNNNNNNNNNNNNNNNNNNNNNNNNNNNNNNNNNNNNNNNNNNNNNNNNNNNNNNNNNNNNNNNNNNNNNNNNNNNNNNNNNNNNNNNNNNNNNNNNNNNNNNNNNNNNNNNNNNNNNNNNNNGCUCGCCCCGCGCCGCCGUGCUCCCGCCGCCGCCGUCCACCGCCGUGCCCCGCUCCCUCCGGCGCCGCGGCCUCCUUCCCCGACGCCGUCGUCCUCUCCUCCUCCCUCCGGUCGCCUCCUCUCCUCCGCCGCGCCUCCUCCCACCGCCGAGCUCGAGAGCAACCGCGCCAGAUCCGAUCGAGGAAGCCCAGUGCGUUGACUUUCCCCUCCCCUUUUUUUCUCUAAGUCCUGGAAGUUUACGUUAUGUGCACCUGUUCAUAGCAUCGUAACUCUCUGCAUAUAGCUCCGUUUCACGCGUGUAAUAUAUCGUAUUGUUCGUCUCGUGAUGCUCUACAUUUUGUUCAAUUGCACCAUGUUCAUUAGAGGCCAUCUUGAUGACCAAAUCUCUGGUGCAAGAGUGCUACUUGCUGUUACUUAGCAGAACUUGGGGAUUUGUUAAUUUUGUAUCAUUUAAUCUGUGCAUCUUAUGGGCAUGAGCUAUACAUGUGUUUUGUUGUAUGCCAUGCCAUCUUUCCAGCGGUGUAUGCCAUGUAUUUUUGUGAUUUCUAUGGUGACUAGAACAAGCAUGCAAACUAGGCCCCGUAAUGUUUCUGAUUUCAGGGACUUGGUGAUUUCUCUAAGUCUUUGUCUGCUGUUAUUUUGUUGCCAUGUAAACUUGAUGCUACAGAGAGAUCCAUGCAUAUUUUGGUGAUGUUCAGUAAGGAUGUUUUGUAGCUAUUGUUGUAAUUGAUCCAUUCCUGCCCUUGUUUGCAAUUAUGGAGUGCCAUAGCAUGACUCAAUCUUGCUCUACUGUUGCUAUAAAAUAUUUCUGGCAGAUUGUUUACAUGUUAUUCAAUUUUGCCAAGCUUGUUGUAGUUGACCCAUACAUGCUAUGUUUUUUCUCUUGCCAUGGAUAGCUUCAUAAACAUGCCAUCUUGCUGUAUGUAUGCUUGUUUUGUUAUGCAUUACUUUGUGGUGAGUGCAUCAAGCUCACCAAGAUGCCUUCAUAUUAUUAUUUCUGCCAUGCUCUGUUUUCUGCUAAGUCUGGAACCUGUUAACGAAAAUUGCUACGUUUACAUGGUUGCCAUCAUAUCUUCUGGUCCUUUUUUGGCUUAUGGUCAGUAAGGGACUUUUGUCAUAUGCAUUUAGUAGAACACUGCCAUGCCUUGUUUUUCUAUGUUAACUUCCUGUAGCAUGUUGAUUUCGUGCUCUGAACAUUGCUACCUGAUGCUGUUUCAGGCAUGUCCAGUAAUUUCACCAAGUCUGUGAUCCUGUUAUCUUUUGCACUUUUGCCAUGCUUGUUUGAGCCUGUUAUGGUGUGAUCUAGCCGUAGCUCAGUGUUCAUCUUUUGUCAAGCAUCUCCUGUAGAUUACUUUUAUAUGCUUUGUUGCUAUGUUGGAGUGCUGUAGCAUUGUUACUUGUUGCAUUUUAAGUGCUAUCAUGCUGUUAAUCACAGAUUCGUGUCAUUCUUGUUUUGCUUGCCAUUUGCAAACCGUGCAUCCGUUUCCGGUGAUCUUUAUAUCGAUUUCGACCGAAAUCAUCUCAUCUUUCCAGUGGAAUGCUUGGUUUGCCAAGUUACUGCCUUGUUCAUCAUUUUCCUUCCGGAGCACGCAUAUGCAUCGCAUAUCAUACAUGUUUUGGAUCAUGUUGCUUGUGCAUUUCUCGUGAUUGAUUGUGGUUCCGUUGCUUGUGUUCUUGUCUUGGGUAGAGCCGAGAGACGAGUUCAUGAACGAGGAACCUGUUGAGUACGCUUACGAGGAUCAAGCUCUCGACAACUCUGAGAACCUUGCAGGCAAGAUGACCACCCCUCGAAAUCACUUCUGUCUUUGCUUUGCUAGUUGUUCGUUCUAUUGCCAUGUCAGCCUCUAACCAUCCUUUCUUAGCAAACCGUUGUUUGGCUAAGUUACCGUUUUGCUCAGCCCUUCUUAUAGCGUUGCUAGUUGCAGGUGAAGUUGAAGUUGGUUCCAUGUUGGAACAUGGAUAUGUUGGGAUAUCACAAUAUCUCUUAUUUAAUUAAUGCAUCUAUAUAUUUGGUAAAGGGUGGAAGGCUCGGCCUUAUGCCUGUUGUUUUGUUCCACUCUUGCCGCCCUAGUUUCUGUCAUACCUGUCGUGGAAUUGUCACGACAGAUGUCCUCGUGCUAGGACUUAGUCGUGGAGCCAUCGCAGCUAGGAAGCUUAAAGGGGUUAAAUGGGACAAGGAACACGAGGGUUAUACUAGUUCGGCCCCUUACGGUGAAGGUAAAAGCCUACGUCCAGUUGAGGUGGUAUUGAUUAGGGUUUCGAUGACCAGGAGCUAAACCGUCUUGCCUGGUUAUCGAUUUUGUCUUACCCCUCCCUAAACCGCCGCCGGGUCGUCCCUUUAUAUAGACAGGUUGACGCCCAGCGGCUCUCAGAGUCCCGGCCGGCUCAUAACAGUGUCCGGCCCGGACUCUUAACUAUUCUUGCCUUACACUACAAGUUUCACCCUAACGGCGGUUAACACUACGGGCCUUAAGCCAUCUCCGGGUCUUAAGCCCAUUAUUGACCCGCCGUCUUCAAGUUUGGUGCUGGGCUUCGCGUGAUGACCAUUAUGACGUAACCCGGCCCCUCCUGGGCGGGUGACUCUAAUGGUUAUAUCCUCAACAUUAGGCCCCAGAUUGAUUUGAACCGGUUCAUGUCAAUCUUCAAUCCCUUUGAGAGAAAAUCUUCCGGCUUAUAUUUGUGUGAAGGUUAUAACCCGCCGUGACGUCAUCUUCUGGAUUCCUGAUAACCCGCCAUGACGUCAUCUUCCAUUAAGUUCAUUUUUUAUUGCCAUAUCUCAACGGAUCUUAUCUUUAAUGGUCAUCCCGAAAAUCGAGGCGCUUCUGUGGCGAGAUAAUCACGCCUUGGCCUCCUCGUUUCUCGCGCCCACUUAUUAGCCUCACCUUAUAAAUAGGCCCAGCCCGUAAGCCUUCAUUUACUUGUCGCCUCCAUCGUCUUCCUCCUCUGACACCCGAGAGCUCGAGCUCCGCCGCCGCUGCCGCUCUCCUGGUCUUCGUCAACCUCGGCCGCUGCAUCACCCUGACCUGUCCAGAGAAACGGCGGCGACCUCCGCGACUCAUCAGCACCCGUAAGUCCUUGCCACUGCAUAGAAUAGAUCCGCAUUAGGGUUCUUGCUGUUCUCCCCUGUUCUUCGCAGUUCGUCGCCAUUUCUUCACAGUUUCUUCUACACGGCCCCCUUAGAUCCAGAAAACAUAUACUCGUGCGGCUGUGGUUUCGGACCCAUUUUCAAUAGUAGCACGCCCCCUUUACUUGCAAAGAGAUCCCCUUAGAGCUCAUGAACUUCUCUGUAUCAGCUUUCUAGGUCUAGAAAUUUUUCCUUUUUAGCCGAUCGUUUGAUCCAAAAUAAUUACUGCGAUCUGUGAAACUUGUUUGCGCCACACUUAGUCAAAAAUUCCAUCUGUUUAGCUAUGGCGGCUCAUAUCUCUGGCUUAAAAGAGGCCACGCGCUGUAAAAUUUCCGGCUCAUUUAUGAUAAAGUUUUAGACAACUUGAAUUACUCACGAUGCCCUCAGCGGCUUAGAUAACCCGACGCAAUUAGCCAUAUGUCAUUAGGCCCCUUCAUAAGCCGCCAUCUUGAAUAUUGAACUGUAAACUUCCUCCGGCUUAUAGUUGAACCGGACAUUUCCUUUUGUCAUAGGCUUUCGUCUUUCACAAUGCCACCCAAGGCUCCCAAGGCACCCAUCACGUGCAACUGGAUGAGAUCCAAUGUUACUGAUGACACUUUAGCUGAUUUCGUGAAGACGGGUUACCUGCCCAAGAAGGAGGUCAUGUCUUAUCGUGCCCCUGACCCGUCGGAGGAAAGACCUCAACCAAGAGAUGGCGAGGUGGUGAUAUUUGCUGAUCACAUGAGCCGGGGCUUCGCACCUCCCGGCUCAAAAUUCUUUAGAGAUGUUCUGAACUUCUUCGAUCUGCGGCCGCAACACAUAGGACCCAAUUCCGUGUCGAAUAUUUGCAAAUUUCAAGUAUUCUGCGAAGUAUAUCUUGGAGAAGAGCCCAGCCUACUGCUUUUUAGGGAGUUGUUUUAUCUGAACCGCCAGAAUGAGUGCGCCAACGGGCCUAGCUUGGAGCUUGGCAGAAUCUCCAUUCAACGACGGAGAGAUUGCCUUUUCCCUUAUGCUGAGCCGCCAAGCCACCCAAAGGACUGGAACCAGACAUGGUUCUACUGCCAAGACACUUCUCCGGCUGAUGAGAGCCCUCUGCCCGGCUUUCGUGCCCUGCAUCUGGAGCCAACUCACCCCCUGCCAGACAAACUAUCUCAAGCUGAACGUUAACUACUGAUUCCUACCAUCAACAAGAUUAAGGCCCUUCUGGGAAAUGGCCUUAACGGCGUAGAUCUGGUCCGGGUCUGGAUUUCUUGGCGGGUGAUUCCCCUGAGCCGCCGCCCCGGCUUAAUGUGUGAUUACACGGGCCGGAAGGAUGACCCUUUGCGGCACAGCUCCAACGAUCUUCCUGAGGACGUCGUGGACGACAUGACCAAGUCUCUCUUGAAUGAGAGCUUAGCCGACUGUGGGAGGACCGGCUUAAGCCCCUUCUGCCAAGCUAACCUGGCUCCGGCGGUAAGCUACCAAUCUGAGCACUUUACCUUCCAUUUUAACAGUUUUCGUUUUAACUUCAAGGAAACCUUUAUUGCAUUUUUCCAGGCUAAUGACAAGUUCUGGAAGGUCAAGUAUGACCAUGAGGCUGCUAAAAAAGCCAGGAAAGCUAAGAAAGCCGCCAGGAGAGCCGCUCCCCGUAAGAAGGGAGGUAGGCCUAGCGCCUCAGAGCUGCUUCAGUUGGAUGAUAGCUCCGAGUCAGAGGUAACACUUGAUUCGUUAGGCUCCUAUUCUGCUUUUCGUCUGUUUUUUAACCACCUUAUUGACUUGAUUAUCCGCAGGAUGAUACCGGAGCGAGUAACCCGGUGACUGAAGAGGUAACUAUACUUUCCUCCGACUCGGACCCCUUGCCAAGGCUGAAAGUCCGAAGAGUUACCCGGAAAGUAAGAUUUUCGCAUCCUUUAGCUUAUCAAGAUCCUCAAUUUCUUUUGAAGCAACAGAUUCAUGAGAGCCGGAGGCAAACCCGGGCCAGCAAGGAUGCAGACCUCUCCUCCGGCUUACCCGAGGCAUCAUGAAAGCGCUGGACUGAGGUUAUCUCCAACUUAUACCCUUUUCAUCCUUUAGCGGGCGUCAUUCGUCAACCACUCAACUCGUCUGAUUCAAAUUAUCAGGAAACUUCACCUUCCUCUGGUGACUCCAUGCAAUCUAACCUGCCGGCUUUCAAGACCGCACCCGGGUAAUGAUAAUCAUCUCAUUUGUGCUUAUCUUAUUUAUGUUUUUUGUACUAAUCUUUUGACUUUCAGUGCCCAAGCCAAGCUCAGCAAAAGGGCCAAGAAAAAUAAGCCGGUCGAAGAGCCGGUCUUGACUGAACCGGAGGCUUCUGCUCAUGAGCUGCCAUCUGCCUCAGCCCCUGAAACCACCGCUCCAACUGACGAGCAAGUCACAGAGGAUUCUAAUAACCCGGAGAUCCCCAGCCCAGCUCAACCGGUCGAUGACCCGGACGUUGUAAUCACACGGACAGAGUUUGUCGAGCCGGGGAGACCCACUGCACUGGCUAAAUGCUCUGCCAAGGAGGAGCUGCUAGAGCGCCGCAGGGCCAAGCUGGAUAUCACCAACUAUGCUAACUUGAGCAUUGGAGAUAUCGUCUCCGGCUAUGUUAAUCAGGUGCACAACAGCCGGGACCUGGAGAUUGACAUGGUAAAGCAGAUACAACAAAAAUCUGAGGUACAACUCUCUUGCUUACUCCAUAGUCAUCCUUACCAUGCUAGCCCCCAAGUCUAUUACUUAUGAUAGAAUACGUUGUAGACUUAACUUCCAGCUUACCUUCAUGAACCGGCAAUUAUAAAUAGAAUCCUUCAGCAUACAUUAGCCCCAAGUGCCAAGUGUCUUUGCUUGCAAAGUGCUUGGGACUUUAAUGUUGCAUAAUAAUCACUCACACUGUAACCCGGAAUUUGUACAGGCUGCCUGCAAGAAAUUGGAAACUGAAAUCUCCGAGCUGAAGAACCGCCUGAAGACUCAGAAAACUGAGACCCGGAAGGCCAAUGCCAAAUUUGAGUUCAGUGUUGCUGCACAAGAAAAGCUGAAGAAGAAAUUUGAAACCGAAAGAAAGACUUGGGCCGAGGAGAAAACUGCUUUGGUCAGCCGGGCCGAACAAGCGGAGGCUGCUCUGACGGAGAGAACCGCCGAACUCUCCGGCUUAAAGCGCCAUGUGUCACAGAUGGUCGCCGCAAUCUUCGGUAAGUCAUUCUGCAAGCCUUUAACAAGCUUACAUUCUUUAUCUCUUAGAAAUCCCACAAUUGCCAUCAGUUCACCUAACUUUGUUAUGCAGGUCCCAGAAGCUCCAACCUUAAUCAGAAUGUUCUGACCAAGUUGAAGGCCGUGUACACCUUGGUGGAGCAACUCUACACCGGGUCACAACGUGCGUUAGCCGUUGUGGCUCUGUCCAACGAGGUUCCGACUCACCUGGCGGAUGUACUCAGGCGGCUUGCCGUUCUUCCUCAGCGCUUCCAAGAGCUAAGACGGGCCUCUGCAAGAGCCGGAGCUAUAGCUGCUUUGAGCCGGGCCAAGGCUUUUCUUCCGGAGCUAGACCCGGACGACAUCGCUCUUGGAUACCCCAGCCUGAAGGAAGACGUCACCCCCUUUGAUCAAAAAGACUUUGCUGCCUGUGUGAAGAGCGUGCGCCCGGUGGCCACCCUGAUUGGGAAUGACACCGACCUUACCAAGUAUCAGCCGGGCUACGACGCGGAAAAUCAGAGGAUCCCCACUCCACGUUAUGAAGCCAUCAGCUUGAUCCCUCCGACUCGUAAGCAUACCUUCGCCCCAGAAGUUGACCCGGCCGGGUUAAUUUAUGAUGAGGCUCAAUUUGAAGCUUUGAGCGGCAUUGACUGGAAAUCAUCAACCUUCCAGGUCAUGGAAUCAGCCGGAGGAGCGGAGAGGGAUGAGCCGGAAGCUUCGACCCAACAAGCACCUUAACUUUUUAGGCGGCUCAUGGUUACAUCUUGAAACAAUGCCUCACCUGUUGGACUCGGGGAAUCUUGUAAUAGAGUAGGCCAAAUACUUAAUUUUGUCGUGCCAUCGUGCACGUGUUGAAUGCUUAACUUCAUUUAAGCUACUCCUUCCUAUUCCUCCGGGUUACAAUUGAUCAUUUAUUUUCCUUAAGCUUGAGGAACGGUCUUUAAUUGUCCUGCAUAGAAAACAAAUCACAAGUCUCUGGGCGGCUUACCGCACUGAGAAUCAUAGACUUUAUAUAUAACCCGGAAUAUAAACCAAAGUCACCAAAGACUGGCCCUCAAUUAUAUCCUCGAUGUAACCAUAAUGGCAUACUUACAAGCCUUCAAGCAUGCUUCCGGUUUAUGUAACCCGGAUGAUGAGGUUGAGAUCUCAACUCCGGUUCACCAGCAUCAAUAAUACUUACUAUGCGCUAUCAAUGUUGUGAAUCAAAAUUAAGUCGGCGAAGUAAGAGCCGCCCUUGCACACUGUUGUAAAUCAGAAGAUCAAAACUUAGGGGCUUCCGGUUCGAAUACGACCAGAGAACCGUCCCAAAGGGGUUAAGCUAAGAUUCGAAUGCGAUCAUAUAGCCCCCAGUGGCUUUGGCGUUGCCGAUCAAGAGGGUACCAACAACUAUGUUCUCUUUGGUUCGAAUACGACCCAUGUUUGAACAGGAAGCCCCCAAAUGACCUUAAGAGUUGUUUAACGACGCUGAUUCGAAUACGAUCCACGUCGGUUCCCAAAGGGGGUUGAGCUAUGAUUCAAAUAUGAUCAAAGAAAACUCCCCAAUGAGCUCGGCAAUUUGCCAAUCAAGUGGGUAUCGACAACUAUGUUCUCUUUGUUCGAAUACGACCUAUGUUUGAACAGGAAGCCCCCAGGUGAUCAUAUUGUUUACGGCUAGAUUCGAAUACGAUCACAAGCCGGAUCCACCUCCAAGUGAUCAUGUGAUGUUGUAAUGGAAAUAACACGUUUUACCUUUGGAGGAGGAAAGGACAGAGGUCCUGCUUUAUUAUUUAUCAUAAUAUAUACAUGGCUAUAGAAAUAUGUACAUUAUGAGAGCCGGUGGCUCAAGUGUAAUAAGGCCGAAGCUGAACUAUGUUCCACGGCCGACGGGUCUCUUCCUCCGACUUGCGUGAAUCUUUGUGCUCCCGAACAUUGAUAAGGUAGUAUGACCCGUUGUGCAAGUUCUUGCUGACCACAAAGGGCCCUUCCCAAGGCGGGGAUAACUUGUGUGCAUCUGUCUAAUCUUGAAUGAGCCGGAGCACCAGAUCACCUUCCUGGAAGACCCGGGACUUAACCCGGUGACUGUGAUAACGGCGCAGGUCUUGUUGGUAAAUCGCCGAGCGAGCUGCUGCCACAUCACGCUGUUCGUCCAACAAGUCAAGAGCAUCUUGGCGCGCCCGCUCAUUAUCCGCCUCGACAUAAGCCGCCACUCGAGGCGAGUCAUGACGGAUGUCACUGGGGAGGACUGCUUCCGCUCCAUAAACCAUAAAGAAAGGCGUGUAACCCGUAGACCUGUUAGGAGUAGUAUUGAUGCUCCAUAACACGGAGGGUAACUCCUCCACCCAACAACCCGGCGUCCGUUGCAAAGGGACCAAAAGCCGGGGCUUGAUGCCCUUCAAGAUCUCCUGAUUAGUUCUCUCAGCUUGACCAUUGGAUUGAGGGUGAGCCACUAAUGAAACAUCAAGUCGAAUAUGCUCUCGUUGACAAAACUCCUCCAUGGCGCCCUUAGACAGAUUGGUACCAUUUUCAGUUAUAAUGCUGUGUGGAAAGCCGAAGCGAAAUAUAACCCUUUUCAUGAACUGAACCGCCGUGGCUGCGUCACACUUACUAACUGGCUCUGCUUCAACCCACUUUGUGAACUUGUCAACUACCACCAAGAGGUGGGUCUUCUUAUCCUUGGACCUUUUAAAAGGCCCAACCAUAUUAAGCCCCCAGACCGCAAAAGGCCAAGUAAUUGGAAUCAUCCUCAGCUCCUGAGCCGGCACAUGAGCCCGUCGUGAGAACCUCUGGCAACCGUCACAUUUACUGACCAAGUCCUCCGCAUCAGCAUGAGCCGUCAGCCAAUAAAAACCAUGACGAAAAGCUUUGGCCACAAGGGAUUUUGAGCCGGCAUGAUGGCCACAAUCCCCCUCGUGAAUCUCACGCAAAAUUUCUUGGCCUUCCUCAGGGGAAACGCAACGCUGGAAAGUUCCAGUGACACUGCGAUGAUGUAGCUCACCAUUGAUAAUUAUCAUUGACUUAGACCGCCGGGUUAUUUGUCUGGCCAAAGUUUCAUCCUCAGGCAACUCUCCCCGGGUCAUGUAAGCCAAAUAUGGUACUGUCCAGUCCGGGGUGAUGUGGAGAGCCGCCACCAACUGUGCUUCCGGGUCAGGGACAGCCAAGUCUUCCUCUGUAGGUAACUUAACAGAAGGGUUAUGCAAGAUGUCCAAGAAAGUAUUAGGCGGCACCGCUUUCGCUGAGAGCCCAGCCGACUUAAUGCAUCAGCCGCCUCGUUCUUCCUGCGAUCGAUGUGCUCUACUUGGUAACCCUGAAAGUGUCCAGCAAUGGCAUCAACUUCACGACGAUAAGGCGCCAUGAGAGGGUCCUUGGAAUCCCACUUGCCUGAUACUUGUUGAGCCACUAAAUCUGAGUCGCCAAAGCACCUUACCCGGCUCAAGCUCAUCUCCUUAGCCAUCCGAAGACCAUGGAGCAAGGCCUCAUACUCAGCCGCAUUGUUAGUACAAGGAAACAUCAAUCGUAGCACAUAACGAAACUUGUCACCUUUAGGGGAAGUCAAUACAACUCCAGUCCCCGAGCCCUCCAAUUGCCUAGACCCAUCGAAGUGAAUAGUCCAAUAUGUAUUAUCCGGCUUCUCUUCAGGCACCUGCAGCUCUGUCCAAUCGUUGAUGAAAUCCACCAAUGCUUGAGAUUUGACAGCAGUGCGUGGUACGUAUUUCAGACCAUGAGGCCCAAGCUCUAUAGCCCACUUAGCCACUCUUCCUGUAGCUUCUCUGUUUUGGAUGAUAUCUCCAAGGGGAGCAGAACUAACCACAGUGAUGGGGUGACCCUGGAAAUAAUACUUAAGCUUCCGGCUUGCCAUGAACACACCAUAAACAAGCUUCUGCCAAUGUGGAUACCGCUGUUUAGACUCAAUGAGCACUUCACUGACAUAGUAAACCGGCCGCUGAACCGAAUACUCCCUAUCCUCUUCCUUGCGCUCCACCACCACACCCACACUGACGGCUCGUGUGUUAGCAGCUACAUACAGUAAUAAGGGCUCCUUGUCAACCGGAGCAGCAAGAACUGGGGGCUCAGCCAGCUGUCUCUUCAAAUCCUCAAAAGCAGCAUUAGCAGCAUCAUUCCAGAUAAAGUCAUCUGUUUUCUUCAUCAACUGGUACAGCGGCAUGGCCUUUUCACCCAAACGGCUGAUAAACCGGCUUAAAGCAGCGAUGCGGCCUGCCAGACGCUGGACGUCGUUGAUGCACGCCGGUUUAGCCAGAGAGGUGAUUGCCUUUAUAUUUUCUGGCUUAGCUUCAAUGCCUCUGUUAGAAACCAGGAAACCCAAGAGCUUGCCUGCGGGAACACCAAAAACACACUUGGCCGGGUUAAGCAUCAUCUUGUAAACCCGGAGAUUAUCAAAGGUUUCUCUAGGGUCAUCGACCAAGGUCUCCUUCUCCCUGGACUUAACCACGAUAUCAUCCACAGAGGCAUGAACAUUGCGCCCAAUCUGGUUAUGAAGACAAUUCUGCACACAACGCUGAUAAGUCGCCUGUGCACUCUUGAGUCCAAAAGGCAUAGACACAUAACAGAAGGCUCCAAAGGGACUGAUGAACGCCAUCUUCUCCUGGUCCUUAACUGCCAUUUUAAUCUGAUGGUAUCCAUAAUAAGCAUCCAAAAAACUUAAACGCUCACAACCCGCCGUAGCAUCAAUGAUUUGAUCAAUACGAGGGAGAGCAAAAGGAUCAGCCGGACACGCCUUGUUUAAGUCCGUGUAGUCCACACACAUCCGCCAGGUGCCAUUCUUCUUGAGCACGAGCACCGGGUUAGCUAACCAUUCUGAAUGAAAGACUUCGACAAUAAACCCGGCCGCCAAGAGCCGGGCCACCUCCUCACCAAUGGCUUUCCGCCUCUCCUCAUUAAACCGCCGAAGGAAUUGCCUGACCGGCUUAAAUUUCGGAUCGAUAUUGAGAGUGUGCUCAGCGAGUUCUCUAGGUACACCAGGCAUGUCAGAAGGUUUCCAUGCGAAAAUGUCCCUAUUCUCACGGAUGAACUCGAUGAGCCCGCUUUCCUAUUUUGGAUCCAGAUUGGCACUGAUGCUAAAUUGCCGAGAUGAGUCACCUGGAACGAAAUCAACAAGUUUAGUCUCAUCAGCUGACUUAAAUUUCAUUGCCGGCUCAUGCUCCGUGGUCGGCUUUUUCAGAGAUGUCAUAUCUGCUGGGUCAACAUUGUCCUUGUAAAACUUCAACUCCUCUGUUGCACAAACAGAUUCUGCAUAAGCCGCGUCACCUUCCUCACACUCCAAGGCUAUCUUUCGGCUGCCAUGAACCGUAAUGGUCCCAUUGUGACCCGGCAUCUUGAGCUGUAAAUACACGUAACACGGCCGUGCCAUGAACUUGGCGUAAGCCGGCCGCCCAAAUAUAGCAUGAUACAGACUUCUUAUCUUGACCACCUCAAAGGUCAUUUUUUCCGCUCUGUAAUUGUACUCAUCUCCAAAGGCCACUUCCAGCUCGAUCUUACCCACUGGAUAUGCCGACUUACCAGGCACCACACCAUGGAAAACAGUAUUGGACUGGCUGAGGUUCUUAUCAAUCAGCCCCAUACGACGGAAGGUCUCAUAAUAGAGGAUGUUGAUGCUGCUGCCUCCAUCCAUGAGCACCUUAUGAACUUAUAUCCCCCCACCCGAGGAGCCACCACCAGGGCCAGGUGACCCGGAUUAUCAAACCGGGGAGGGUGAUCUUCCCUACUCCACACAAUAGGCUGCUCAGACCAUCUUAAAUAGCGUGGAACCGCCGGCUCAACAGCAUUCACAACCCUCUUAUGAAGCUUCUGAUCUCGCUUACACAGACUGGUGGUAAACACAUGAUACUGUCCACCAUUGAGCUGCUUUGGAUUGGUCUGGUAUCACCCCUGCUGCUGUUGAUGACCCUGGCCGGACUGCUGAUUAAAGCCCCCUUGAACAUUCUGAGGAUUGGAAUUUGAGCCGCCGCCCGGGCCAUGAAAGCCGCCAGCGCCUGAGCCGCCGCCCGAGCCAUUGUUGCCAUUAAAGGCAUUGGAAUUCUUAAAGGCCUUCAUGAUUGCGCAAUCUUUCCAUAGAUGAGUAGCUGGCUUCUCCCUAGAGCCAUGCCUUGGACAAGGCUCAUUCAACAACUGCUCCAGCGUCGGGCCUGACCCGCCGGCUCGGGGAGGUGGCCUCCCCUUACGUCGCUGGUUGUUACCCUGUGAGCCGGCGUUAGCCACAAACUCUAUGCUGCCAUCGGCCUUACGCUUGCUACCUCCUUGGUUCGCCGGGUUAUGCUGAGGACCCUUGCCAUUGCCGUUCUUCUUUCCCUUCCCUGUCCUUUCAUCAUCUGACGCGGGGUCCUUGGUACUAUCAGAGUCGGCGUACUUGAUGAGAGCCGCCAUCAGUGUACCCAUAUCAUUGCAAUCGCGCUUGAGCCGCCCGAGUUUCAUCUUCAGGGGCAGGAAACGACAAUUCUGCUCCAACAUUAAGACUGCAGAGCCGGCAUCCAUCUUAUCAGAUGAAUGUAUUAUCUCUUUGACCCGGCGAACCCAAUGGGUUGUGGACUCUCCCUCCUGCUGUUUAUAGUUAGUCAAAUCCACAAUUGACAUAGACUGCCCACAGGUAUCUUUGAAGUUUUGGAUGAACCGGGCUUUCAGCUCAGCCCAAGACCCGAUAGAAUUCGGUGGCAGCCCUUUCAACCAAGUGCGGGCAGUCCCAUUUAACAUCAUGGUGAAGUACUUGGCCAUUGCUGCUUCGCUGACCUCCAGCAACUCCAUGGCCAUCUCAUAACUCUCGAUCCAGGCUCCGGGUUGUAAAUCAGCCGUGUAAUUAGGCACCUUCCUAGGCCCUUUGAAAUCCUUGGGCAGACGUUCAUUGCGGAGAGCCGGCACUAGACAACGGACACCUCCAGUCCUUGUAGGGAUACCCACGUCGAUGGAAGCCGUCGGAUAAGCCGGGGGUGGCUGGUAAGCCGUCAACUGUGGCACCUGCUCCGCCUCUUGCCGUGCUCUGUCUUGGUCUACUGCGUGAAAGGCUCCGUUAUGAGCCGGGCCGUGGCCAGGAGGCAAGUCAUGGCGUCGGACAUUACUUGAGCCGGUCGCCGAGACCAUGUGUCUGCUAUAACUCGGGCUCCGGCCUGGACGAGGGGUUGAAUGAAUCCUGUCCCGGCUAUAAGAAUAUGCCUCUUGCUGCGCCAGAGCCGUCUGAAGGAGUUCUCUGACCCGUCGGGUUUCAACCGCCGUUGGAGAGUCACCAUCAAUUGGGAGAGCCGCCAGCCGCACCGCCGCGGCGACCAUGUUUUCCAACGGGUUGGCAUAAUGACCCGGUGGUAUUGGUACGUACUGAGGCGGGGCAGGGUUCACCCGGGGAGGUCCCAUCACUUGGGGCUGAAUUGGCGUCCCAGCCCCGGGCACUAUGAUCUCUGGCGGGUUACUAGACCCUGCACCCGGCGUGUUGAAGAGGUUUCAAGGAUCGUAAACCGGAGGGAGUCGAGAUUGGGCCUUUUGAUGCCUCCUUCUCAUGACCUCAUUGGACGCGUUUUGAUCCAUCGUGAGCCGGAAGGACUGUGCCUGAAUCAGCUGAGUCUGGGCGUCGAGAGCCGCCCUCUCUGCAGCCAUCCUGAUCCCCUCCACUGCCAGAUCCUCCUUGGCCUUUGCUAGAUCCAACUUUAACUGUGCCACCUCCGCGUCAUGCUGAACUUGAUCCGCCGGAGCAACCGUAGCGGUCAACAGGACCGUCAUCUUGUCUGUGAGAUCCAUCAGCACCUGAGCCGGCGAAGGCACCGGGCUUCCUGACCCGGAGGCGGGGUUUUGAACAGGUUGCGCGCCGGCCAUGAAGAUUCCAACCCGGCUCGGCGGCUCAAAGGGGUCCGGAAUGCUGUCUCCAUCGGAACAACCCCUGAGCCUGCCAUCUUGAAGUUGAUACAACGAGUUUGACUCAUCCGUAGACGACUCGCCGUCAGAGCCAGCGACCGUCUCAUCACCAGAUCCAGAUCCUUCAGAGAGUCCUCCAUGGACACAUCCCACAAAAGCAUGCUUCAAGGCAGGUAAAGCCCGGGCGGGUCGUGCACGCUGAGCCGUCUCGAUGAGAUCGGCGUAGAGAUCCGGCUCAGGGCCCGGCUCACCAAUCUUGCCAAUGAAGACAUGAAUUCCGCCGAAGGGGACCCGGUACCCGUACUCAAUUGAGCCGGCGUCGGGGCCCCAGUUUGCAUAAUCGAUGUAGAGCUUGCUGCGACGACUCUUGGUCAUCCGGCCCACAGCGUAUCCCUUGAGCCCUUCGAAGCUGCCCUUCAAGAACUCAAAUCCACCGUGCGCGGGCCCCACGGUGGGCGCCAACUGUCGUGGAAUUGUCACGGCAGACGUCCUCGUGCUAGGACUUAGUCGUGGAGCCAUCGCAGCUAGGAAGCUUAAAGGGGUUAAACGGGACAAGGAACACAAGGGUUAUACUAGUUCGGCCCCUUACGGUGAAGGUAAAAGCCUACGUCCAGUUGAGGUGGUAUUGAUUAGGGUUUCGAUGACCAGGAGCUAAACCGUCCUGCCUGGUUAUUGAUUUUGUCUUACCCCUCCCUAAACCGCCGCCGGGUCGUCCCUUUAUAUAGGGAGGUUGACGCCCAGUGGCUCUCAGAGUCCCGGCCGGCUCAUAACAGUGUCUGGCCCGGACUCUUAACUAUUCUUGCCUUACACUACAAGUUUCACCCUAACGGCGGUUAACACUACGGGCCUUAAGCCAUCUCCGGGUCUUAAGCCCAUUAUUGACCCGCCGUCUUCAAGUUUGGUGCUGGGCUUCGCGUGGUGACCAUUAUGACGUAACCCGACCCCUCCUGGGCGGGUGACUCUAAUGGUUAUAUCCUCAACAAUACCGGUAUUAUGUUCCUUGAGUUUGCGUUCCUUACGCGGUCGGGUGAUUUAUGGGACCCCUUUGACAGUUCGCCUUGAAUAAAACUCCUCCAGCAAGGCCCAACCUUGGUUUUACCAUUUGUGACCUAAGCCUUUUUCCCCCGGGUUUUCGCGAGCCCGAGGGUCAUCUUUAUUUUAACCCCCCGGGCCAGUGCUCCUUCGAGUGUUGGUCCGAAUCGAGCAGCCCGCGGGGCCACCUCGGGGAAACUCGAGGUCUGGUUUUACUCGUAGCUUGACUUAUCCGGUGUGCCCUGAGAACGAGAUAUGUGCAGCUCCUAUCGGGAUUUGUUGGCGCAUCGGGCGGCUUUGCUGGUCUUGUUUUACCAUUGUCGAAAUGUCUUGUAAACCGGGAUUCCGAGACUGAUCGGGUAUUUCCAAGAGAAGGUUUAUCCUUCGUUGACCGUGAGAGGUUAUGAUGGGCUAAGUUGGGACACCCCUGCAGGGUAUUAUCUUUCGAAAGCCGUGCCCGCGGUUAUGAGGCAGAUGGGAAUUUUGUUAAUGUCCGGUUGUAGAGAACUUGUCACUUGACCAAGUUAAAAUACACUAAUUGCGUGUGUAGCCAUGAUGGUCUCUUCUCGGCGGAGUCCGGAAAGUGAACACGGUUUGAGUUAUGAAUGACGUAAGUAGGAGUUCAGGAUCACUUCUUGUUCAUUACUAAUUGACGACCGUUCCGUUGCUUCUCUUCUCGCUCUCAUUUGCGUAUGUUAGCCACCAUAUAUGCUUAUUGCCUGCUGCAGCUCCACCUCAUUACACCAUCCUUUCCUAUAAGCUUAAAUAGUCUUGAUCUCACGGGUGUGAGAUUGCUGAGUCCUCGUGACUCACAGAUUCUACCAAAACAGUUGCAGGUGCCGAUGAUGCCAGUGCAGAUGAUGGGAUCGAUCUCAAGUGGGAGUUUGACGAGGAACGUGGUGGUUACUAUGUGUCUUUUCCUGAUGAUCAGUAGUGGAGCCCUGUUGGGACGAUCGGGGAUCUAGCAUUUGGGGUUAUCUUAUUUUCAUUUGGAUCUUGACCGUAGUCAGUCUAUGUGUGUAUUUUGGAUGAUGUAUGAAUUAUAUUUAUAUAUUGUGUGAAGUGGCGAUUGUAAGCCAACUCUUUAUCCCAUUCUUGUUCAUUACAUGGGAUUGUGUGAAGAUGACCCUUCUUGCGACAAAACCACUAUGCAGUUAUUCAUCUAAGUUGUGCCUCGACACGUGGGAGAUAUAGCCGCAUCGUGGGCGUUACAAGUUGGUAAUCAGAGCCAUCCCCGACUUAGGAGCCCCCUGCUUGAUCGAAUCGCUGGCGUUGUUGAGUCUAGAACAAAAAAAGUUUUGAGUCUUAGGAUUAUAUAUAUCGGAGAGUAGGAUUCUUUUUUACUCCUCAGUCCCUUCGUCGCUCUGGUGAGGUCUCCUGACGUAGAAGUUUUGACUCUUCUCUCCUCAAAUUUCACAAAAAAAAAAAA
Molecule: long non-coding RNA, 49771 nt
Filed under: Triticum aestivum (bread wheat)
Lineage: Eukaryota; Viridiplantae; Streptophyta; Magnoliopsida; Poales; Poaceae
Description: long non-coding RNA (TAES_LNC023660)
Source: RNAcentral